This 62986-nucleotide long non-coding RNA is filed under the name Citrus sinensis (sweet orange). Its description in RNAcentral is "long non-coding RNA (CSIN_LNC004959)". The record is from RNAcentral. Lineage: Eukaryota; Viridiplantae; Streptophyta; Magnoliopsida; Sapindales; Rutaceae.
GAUAAUUCAAAUUCAAUCUUAGAAUUAUCAUGGCUGAAGUGAAGCUUCAUGGGACCCUGCUGAGUCCAUUUGUUUACAGGGUGAUUUGGGCUCUGAAAUUGAAAGGCGUGCCAUAUGAAUUUGUUGCAGAAGAUCUCUCAAACAAAAGUGCUUUGCUUUUGAAGCACAAUCCGGUUCACAAGAAGAUCCCAGUGCUUGUCCAUGGCGGAAAACCAGUUUGUGAGUCCAUGGUUAUUCUCGAAUACAUCGAAGAGACGUGGCCACAGAAUCCCUUGAUGCCAAAUAAUCCUUAUGAUAGAGCUCUUGCUCGAUUCUGGAUUAAAUUCGCCGAAGACAAGGUUCGCUCACAACUCUGGCAAACACGUUUAUGAUUAAGUUCAUUCUUUUCAAAUGUGUUUAUUUAUUUAUUUAUUUACUUUAAGAUCUAGAUGAGGUGACGAGGAUAACGAAAUCCACCCACCAAACACUAAAUCUUACUCUCCAUAUAUACUCGAACUCGGGUGAUGGCGGAAGUGAAUUCAUAGCCAGUCGAGCCCAGCCACCCAGGGGUCUCCUUCAUAUUUAUUUGUAAAAAGUUCUCUAAACUUUCAAUUUCUGGUGUCUUCACUGUUUUAUCCUUAAAUAUGAAAAGAUGUAAUAAGUUAAAGUUAACACAACCGUUUUUAACUUCACGGGGAAUUUUGAUGACUUUUGAAGCAUUGGGAAAAAGUGAAUUUACUAGCUAAUGACAGAUUUUAGAACUCAGUGGUUGAACUCUCUUAAUUAACUUAUUAAACUAAUUAAAGGUUAUUGUGACACGUGUUGUGCAUAUUGUCUAACGAUAUUUCACUUUUAUAUACAUAUUAUUAAUUAAUCAUGUCGGUGAUAAAAUCAGAUGUAAAAUAUUUGUGGCAGGGUGUUGCUGUUUGGAAAAUGUUUCGUAGCACUGGACAAGAACUACAAAACACAAUGAAGGAAGCCUUGGAAAUGCUACAAACCGUUGAAGAGCAUGGCUUGGGAGAGAAGAAAUUUUUCAAUGGAGACAAUAUUGGCUUAGUGGACCUAGCGUUUGGUUCAAUUGUUUAUUGGUUGCAAGUCAUUGAAGAUAUAGUGGGCGCUAAACUAUUUGAAUCACACAAAUUCCCUCACUUGCAUGCCUGGAUUGAAACUUUCAAGCAAGUCACUUUGAUUGAAGAAAAUCUUCCUAAUCAGGAUGAACUAUUGGUUGCUCUCAAACUUCGUCGUGAACAGUUGAUGGCUUCUGCUUGAAUGCAGUAGCAUAAAAUUUGUUUGUAUGUCUCGCUUUGUGUUUGUUUUGCUUUUGUUUUGGUGUCUAGAAACGUUCUUUUUUUUUUCUUUUUUUAAAUUACCGUCUUAUGCUAAGUUCGGGGGACUAGCAUAGUGGUUACUUUUUAUGGAUAUGAAUAAUAAAAUAAGGGACUCGAUUUGUCUAUAUAUAUUAAUUUCUAUCUUUCUCUUAAAAAUAUUCAAAAAAAUAAAUACAAAAUUAUAAGAGUAAAACAUUAAACAUUUAUAUAUCCUGUUUGAGGGUGAUAAUAUUUCCACCCUAUUAUUUUUUAGACACAUCCCACAUCCAAGGGUUGUGUUUUUUGUUGUGUGAAAAUAAAUUUUUUCUUUUAAACAUAUUAUAAAUGUAUUGAUAUAUUUAUUAUCAUAUUUCUAUUGGGACUCAUAAAUAAAUUUUAUUAAAUCAAAGUCCAAAAUUUUACCCUCAAUCCCUAAUUAAUGUUACAACUUCUAACUAUUCAAAUCCGCCCCAGCGUUAGUGCAGCGACGACCUAGAGGGUGGUGGUUUGUUCUUCUUUAGUUGUUGACACAGGAUAUUACAUGGCUUGAGGUUUUCUCGUUGGCACAUUGCUACUCCAACAAUUGGCUUUUGUUAUAUUUUUUUCUUUUGUAAAUUGCUAAACGACGUAGGUUUAGGUUUAACUGUUAUAAUUUAUAAUUUUAGUAACGGUGUUGUCUUUUAAUAGAUAGGAGCCAAAUAAUCUAGAAAUUAAAUUGUUGGGAGAGACAAUGAGCCAUAACAUAGAAUCAGUGAACUUUAGGGUCUCUAAGUAUCCUUUGUCUAAAAUUAUUAAUUAUUAAUUUAAAUGUUUGAAAAUCUUAACACAUUUCACAUUUUGAGCUAGGUUUGUUCAUACGUGGACAAUCAUAUGUGAUUCCUAACCUUUUAAAUGAUAUUAUUUAUCAAGAAAGUCUUAGGUAUUCUCAGGCACCUCAUUAUUAUACUAGCAUGAACAAUACUCCCACCCAAUCAAAAUUUUGUGUUGUUUAACAAUAUUCAAAAAAAUUAAUACAAAAUUAUAAGAGUAAAACAUUAAACGUUUAUAUAUCCAAUUUGAGGGUGAUAAUAUUUCCACCCUAUUAUUUUUUAGACACAUCCCACAUCCAAGGGUUGUGUUUUUUGUUGUGUGAAAAUAAAUUUUUUCUUUUAAACAUAUUAUAAAUGUAUUGAUAUAUUUAUUAUCAUAUUUCUAUUGGGACUCAUAAAUAAAUUUUAUUAAAUCAAAGUCCAAAAUUUUACCCUCAAUCCCUAAUUAAUGUUACAACUUCUAACUAUUCAAAUCGGGCCCAGCGUUAGUGCAGCGACGGCCUAGAGGGUGGUGGUUUGUUCUUCUUUAGUUGUUGACACAGGAUAUUACAUGGCUUGAGAUUUUCUCGUCGGCACGUUGCUACUCCAACAAUUGGCUUUUGUUAUAUUUUUUUCUUUUGUAAAUUGCUAAACGACGUAGGUUUAGGUUUAACUGUUAUAAUUUAUAAUUUUAGUAACGGUGUUGUCUUUUAAUAGAUAGGAGCCAAAUAAUCUAGAAAUUAAAUUGUUGAGUGAGACAAUGAGCCAUAACAUAGAAUCAGUGAACUUUAGGGUCUCCAAGUAUCCUUUGUCCGAAAUUAUUAACUAUUAAUUUAAAUGUUUGAAAAUCUUAAUACAUUUCACAUUUGGAGCCAGAUUUGUUCAUACGUGGACAAUCAUCUGUGAUUCCUAACCUUUUAGAUGAUAUUAUUUAUCAAGAAAGUCAUAGGUAUUCUCAGGCACCUCAUUAUUAUGCUAGCAUGAACAAUACUCCCACCCAAUCAAAAUUUUGUGUUGUUUAGCAUCUCUUUUUGCUUGUAUUUCUAUGCUGUCAAGCAACUUCAAAUGUUUUGUUAAGCUUUUACGUUCAUAUGUUAAAUUUACAACCUGAUUGAUGUUUCACCUUGAUGACCUAGGUUUGAUUCCUAAUCUUUUUUUUUUUAACCACCAAAAAGGUAGGAUUAGGUGGGACCCCUAUCUUUCAUAUAAAUCAUAGAAUGAAUCAAAUAUAUAAGGAGGUGAAUAUAAAUCAAAACCGCAAUUGCAAGAACAUAAGAAUGAAAAAGUAAAAAAUACAAGAUAAAAAAUAGAACACAAAAAUAAGCAAUUAUAUUGCCUGAUAUGUUAAAUUACCCACAAUUCAAACGAAGAUUAUUAGAUAAGCCAGCAGAGAUAUCUUGAGAACCCAAGAAACGCCGAUGAACUUGAAGAGUGUAGGCCAAAGAAAUCAGCAGUAGAAGUAGCCUUUCGAAGCACAUGACUAACCAUGAAGUAGAAGAAAAUGUCAAACUACACACUCGACGCAAAGAAUAGGUAUAGUCUGUAUGAACAAGGCCUUAGAAAAGAAUCCAAGAAGCCACCAUGGCUGAGUCCGACUCUACGUCAAGCACAGUAUAAUGGAGUUGAGCACCAACUCUAACCCCUCAAAAACAGCCAUGAAUUCUGCAUGAAAGAUCAGUUAGCGCCCAAGGAAGGAACCAAAAGCAGCCAAAGCCAAAGCCUAAUCAUCACGUAAAAUACUAUCUGAAGCAGCCAUCCUAGGAUUACUCCUAAAGCAACCAUCAAUAGUCAGCUUCACCACCUCAGGUGGUGACCACAACCAAAAAACUAAAAAAUCAGCCUCCUGGAUGAAACAACAACUCUCAAGCACUUUGCAAAUCGAGAACCUAGAACUCCUCACAGUUGGGAUGGUUUAAGACCAAAGGCAGAAUCGGCAAGCCUAAGAUCCAACAUUGCCCGAUAAAUAACAACAUCAACAAAAAAGGCCAUUGAGUCAAACUUCAAUGCAUUACAGGCCUUCUAAACUCGCCACAAAAUGAAACAAGGAAGAAGAACUCGAAUAUGGCUCCAAGAAAGGGCACAUCACUACCAAUUAAGAAAUAAAGUACGAGGGAACAAAAAAGCAACAUAGCGCAAAUCGAGGGCAAUCAAGAAAGAAAAUACCUAGAAGUCUCAUAAGCCCAACUACAAAGAUACUAAGAAACUAUGCAGAAAUCCCCCGAACAUGAGGCAUCAUCUGUGGUCAAGAAUUUGUGUCACAACCUCUAGAGAAAAAAAGAUAUCCAAGAAAAGAUAUGUCGCUGCCAAAUAACAAAAAAAGCCUCAUCACUUGGCAUUGUCCAAUGCACAAUAUUUGAAGUUGUCUUCAAAGAAAAACUACCAUCAGGAGAAAGGUCCCACAAAAUCACAUCUGGUUCUCCACUAGAGAUAGGAAUCAAAAGAAUCUGCACAACAAUUAAAAACGGCAGCACAUCCUGAAGUUUACCCCUAUCUCAUUGUUGGUAUUUUUUAUCAAAUUCUAUUUAUGCUAAUGUGCAAGUAUACACAACAAGUAAUAACGUGAUUAAUAUUCAAGAUCGUCUCCACAGGGAUUGAUGUUACUAGAAAUGCUACAGCAAUCACGAUAGUGUAAUCUAACUUGAUUCCUAAAUUAACAAAUGUAAAGUUGGUUACUAUUGAAAUUGAUAAUUGUGAGAUAAUAAAGUUAAACAAUGCAGUAAUGAAACAAAUUAAAUAAAAUGCGUCGAAGAAUCAAAUGAGAAUAAGGUAGUUGAAUGAUCAAACUCUCUUUAUAGGCUGACUGCUUUUCAUCAAGUUAACACCAGUUGCUACAACAAUUUCUAUAGCACUUGGUAGAAUUUAAUUUGCAUCCUCAGCUAUCGCAUAUUGGAAGUCUCAUACCCGUAAACAUCUUCGCAAUGACCAGUUGCUAUUUUACCUAUGGCAUGGCAUUAUGAACAUCCAUUCUCUCCACCCUACAAGGUGAAUACUUAUGUCUAGUUUAUCACAAAUCUUAACUUCAAGUAUGGUCCUUAUGGGAUUCAAGAUAAACUUAAUAUAUGAAACUUAAAUUAAGAUCAAAUAUUACUCUAAUAAUAUCCACUAAGACAUGCCCUUUUACAGUCCUAUCUUAACUUGAACCAUUAAAUGGGUGGUCAACCAAAAUAACAGUUAUAAUAAUAGCUGCUAGAGUAAAAUGCUACAACAAUGACAUAGCAACUCAUAAGAACAGUCAAGAACCCAUUAUAUUAUUUGUCACUCAAAUACAAGCAAGUUUAGUUCAUAUUCUGAAAGAGAUAAACAAUCAGCAACAUAUUGUUUAUGAAAUACAUUAGAUCAGUUAGAGAAAGAAGAAAGGUAUAAGUCGAGAACGGCAAAAAGUGAAUCCAAAUAACUCUGCUGGAUUCUUCAAUGAUGUUGCAGCCGUUCCCUUGAAUUAUGAUCUUCUUCUUCUUUUUCUCUCUAAUUUUUCUAAUGAUAAUUCCUUGCCGCCGUAUUAUGUGAUGCGUGCCUCUUUUUAUACUAAAAACUAGGGUAAACAAAAGCCUCGGGCAUGCAUGAGUUAAAUUAGGAAACUACAGAUCGUAAUUACCCCUGUUCCCGGAGCUCUAGUUGUAAACUUAGGUUACAUGAUGCAGGCAGGUACAUGUUAUGUAUCACUUUGACUAUUAUUAAUCCAUCAUGUAACUUAAUUAUAGUGGAUUUUUUUAUUGUGUGUUUAUGCAGCUAAUCACCAAUGACAAGUUCAAAAGUGCCUAUCACAGAGUGUUGUCAAAAAAGGAAGGCUCAAGGAUUUCAAUCGGAAGUUUUUUUAUGAACAACAGUUGCUCGAGACGAUAUGGUCCAAUUAAAGAGUUGCUAUCCGAAGAAAAUCCUACGCUCUAUCCUGCAAUUACUUUAAAAGAUAUUUACAAUAACCAAUCCUCAACAGAAGGACUAUCAGCGUUGGAAAAACUUAAGCUGGAAAGGCGCGGUGGUUAAUUUAAUUGAGGAUGUUUUCCAAUUUGGUGGAUUAGUGAUGAUAGCUUGUUUGUUGUUUGGAAUUGUGACUUCUGUACUUCAAUUGAGCCUACAAAUAAAUGCCAGCUAUACAUUAAAGUUUGGAGUUUUUGAGUCUCUGAGUUUUUUUUUUCCCUCUUUAAACAUGCCGAUAUGAUACGAUAAAAAUUUAUUGCAUUAAUAUUACAACAAAAAUAACUAUAUUUCUUACAUAUUAUUUGAUAAUUUUUAUAAAUUUUCAAGUAUAUUUGUCACUCCACUAAAUAUUAGACAUGCCUCAAAUAAUGACAAUUUGUGCAUGUAUAAAACAUAUAAUGAUGUCUUUUUAAUUAAGCAUUUAGUAUAUAAAAAUGACCUUAGCUUGAUUUUCCUAAUCCAUUGGACCAUAUUUUGCCUAUGAUAUUAUCAUCUUCAUUUAGAUAUCUUUGUACUAGCUUAAUUUUAUUGUUUCUGGAUAUCAUGAUGAAUGUAUUAAGCAUCCGUAUCUAUCAGAAAAUGUAAAUAGUUGAUGACUUAUGUGCUUUUAGCUUCCAUUAGUAACAUAAAGAUUAGGAUGAGUUGUGGUUUGGGCUUUAUUUGUCCAAUUAUUUCUGUUUUCAGUCAGCGGUCUUGUGUGCAUCCCUUUUCUUGUUAUCCAACAUUUGGAAAAGAUUAUCCAACAUUUGGCAUUUGAUAUGAUCCACAAUAUUUCUUCAAACUAGCUAAGUUCCACAUUUUUUUUUUGAUAGUUGUUUGCUGUCUCUAUUCUUACAACCCAAAGUUGCUGAUACCAAUUGCACAUUCUUGAACAAAUCUAAAUUGAAAAGAAUUGAAGGCAAGGCACACAAGUUCCGGUGUUCACUGUGAGUAAUCUUUCCGUUUGAUGUACUCUGCUCUAAUAGCAAUUCCUUUUUCGUUGUUAUGGAAAAAUAUGUUCUCAUUUAAUAUAUUCUAUGCAUCACUGACUACAAUACUAGAUUAUUUCCUUGAGGUUAGCUGAAGUAAAUAGAUUUUUUUAUAAUCAUGAAAUGUCCAUGUGUCAUUGAAUACAACUUCAUGUUCCAUCUUGUUGAGAAACAGUUUAAGAACAGCAGAAUUGGCUUUUUAUGCUGAAAACAGAACAAGAGCAGCAUAAUAAGGCUGUCCAUGUCUCAUUUAUUGGUACUGAUUUUGGACUUAAGUUGCAGUAUUCAUUUAAAGUUGAUAAAGUAAUAGUUCAAGAUAAUAUGAUUUCUAGAUUGCCCUUCUAUUAUUUGUUUGAAUUAAUUCGAAAUUUUUUAGUUCUAUGAUUUUGCAGUUAUGUAAUAUAUGAUUCAAUGAUGUUACUUUCACUCAAUUUGGAUAAAUAAAACAAAAACUUGAACCUGUGCCCCCAAUAGGUUCUUUAUCACCAGGUCAAAGGUCCAAUGGUGUUAACGGGUAUUGCUUAUGUUUUUACUUUUGCAUACUAACUCUUUGAGAUAAGGGUGGAGUUUUUAACACUUCGUUAAAAUUCUUAUAAUAUUCUUUUAAAUUUAUUUUUUAAAAUAUCACAGUUUAAUUUAUAAAAUACAAAUUCAUAUAUUAAAAUCAAUUAUCUUACCAACUCUAAAUGAAUAUUUCUUUUAAGUUUUAUUUAUAAAGUACUAAAAUUUCUUAAAAUUUAAAUUAUUUUCUUUUUAUUAUAUAGUUUCUAUCUCCAUAAUUCUAAACUCUUAUAAGUUUUUAAAAAAUUAAAAACUAAAAUAUAAAUAUAAAUAUAAAUUAUGAAAUGGGAUGGGUGAAAAAAAAUUUAAUAGAAAUUUUUUAAUUGUUUAAUUGGAUUUCUAGUUAAAGUAAGAAAUGAAUUAAUUUAUCUUUGAUUAUUUAACUAACUUCUAUUAACAAGGGGUUUUAUGAGGAAUUUUGAGGGGUGUCAAAAGGUCUAAUCUUGGAACAAAUCUAGCCGAGUGCGUUUGAAUUGAUUAUUUGGGUGAUGUCGUGUAAGAGUAAUUAAUACUUUUCACACCCCUUUAAAAUCCUUGUAAAUCCGCAUUUUUUGUGAACAUAGUUCUACUGCUAGAGAAGGACAAUUAUGAAUUUAACUAGAUUAAAAUAUCUUUAUACCUGCUAAUUAUGAACUAUCCCAUCUCUAAAUCCUAAUGAGUAAUAAUAUAGCCACAAAUUCUUCUAUAAAUUUAUUUUAUAUAAACUGAUGUGGUAUGAUAAAAUUGGUUGAAUUAAAUAUUUCUUGACCCACAUGAUUUAUUUUUAUUAUUUUAUGUUUUCAUUCAACCAAUGAAUUAAUGUCAAAUCAAUUUGUACAAGACUCAUUUAUUGGUACUGAUUUUGGACUUAAGUUGCAGUAUUCAUUUAAAGUUGAUAAAGUAAUAGUUCAAGAUAAUAUGAUUUCUAGAUUGCCCUUGUAUUAUUUGUUUGAAUUAAUUCGAAAUUUUUUAGUUCUAUGAUUUUGCAGUUAUGUAAUAUAGGAUUCAAUGAUGUUACUUUCACUCAAUUUGGAUAAAUAAAACAAAAACUUGAACCUGUGCCCCCAAUAGGUUCUUUAUCACCAGGUCAAAGGUCCAAUGGUGUUAACGGGUAUUGCUUAUGUUUUUACUUUUGCAUACUAACUCUUUGAGAUAAGGGUGGAGUUUUUAACACUUCGUUAAAAUUCUUAUAAUAUUCUUUUAAAUUUAUUUUUUAAAAUAUCACAGUUUAAUUUAUAAAAUACAAAUUCAUAUAUUAAAAUCAAUUAUCUUACCAACUCUAAAUGAAUAUUUCUUUUAAGUUUUAUUUAUAAAGUACUAAAAUUUCUUAAAAUUUAAAUUAUUUUCUUUUUAUUAUAUAGUUUCUAUCUCCAUAAUUCUAAACUCUUAUAAGUUUUUAAAAAAUUAAAAACUAAAAUAUAAAUAUAAAUAUAAAUUAUGAAAUGGGAUGGGUGAAAAAAAAUUUAAUAGAAAUUUUUUAAUUGUUUAAUUGGAUUUCUAGUUAAAGUAAGAAAUGAAUUAAUUUAUCUUUGAUUAUUUAACUAACUUCUAUUAACAAGGGGUUUUAUGAGGAAUUUUGAGGGGUGUCAAAAGGUCUAAUCUUGGAACAAAUCUAGCCGAGUGCGUUUGAAUUAAUUAUUUGGGUGAUGUCGUGUAAGAGUAAUUAAUGCUUUUCACACCCCUUUAAAAUCCUUGAAAAUCCGCAUUUUUUGUGAACAUAGUUCUACUGCUAGAGAAGGACAAUUAUGAAUUUAACUAGAUUAAAAUAUCUUUAUACAUGCUAAUUAUGAACUAUCCCAUCUUUAAAUCCUAAUGAGUAAUAAUAUAGUCACAAACUCUUGUACAAAUUUAUUUUAUAUAAACUGAUGUGGUAUGAUAAAAUUGGUUGAAUUAAAUAUUUCUUGACCCACAUGAUUUAUUUUUAUUAUUUUAUAUUUUCAUUCAACCAAUGAAUUAAUGUCAAAUCAAUUUGUACAAGAUAAGUUUGUACAAGAGUUUGUGGCUGUAUCAUCACCAAUCCUAAUUUAUAACAUAAUAAAUUUCUUAUGCAAACUCAAAUAAUUUUGAGACAAUGAAGAAAUAAAUUACCUAAUGAUAGAUUUUUUAUUUUAAAAAAGUAUGUUAAAUUUUAAUUAACUCUAUCAUAUUAUUCUGUCUUUUUAAAUAAUUUUUUAAAAGCAAGUGUUACAAAUGCAAUAGUAGAAUUUCACAAGAAUUUUAAAGGGAUGUUAGAAGCUCAAACUGGCUAUAUAAUUAGAAAGCCCAAAAUCAAAACAGAUCGAAUUGACGAAGAUGACUUUGACAAAAUGAGCCCAGAUAAACAAUCUUCACAUGCACAUUUGUAAGUUCUUUUUGCCCCCCUUGUAGUUUGAGAGGGGUUAAAUGCCAAUUAAUUAAGUGAUAAUUUGGGUUUUGUCAACUUUUCUAAUAUAUAUGCUUCAUAUACUUGAAAUGUUGCAUGCAAGUCCAUUACUUUGUGGUUAACUGGUUAUUGAAUUGGAUUUUCGCAUUUUGUGAGUGAAGUUGCCAGUUGUAUUAUUGACCUGUUGCCAAUGAAAAUGGAUAAAUAUCCCAGUAAAUUUUCCACAAUGCUUACGAGGCUUUAUUAUUCAUAGACUCUUCUAAUCAUUCAUUUUGUUAUUAUAUAUUGUCUUGGCUGUUUGUUUUACUCUCAAGCCCUAAAGGGACUCAAGUGACUAAAGUCCCCCAAUGGAAAAUUUUCUCUCUUUAUAGCCUUUGAAAAAUAUUAUUUGAGCCCUUAAUAAAUGUUAAUUAAACCGCCGAUGAUUUACUCUAUUUUUGUAGAAUAACAGUGAUUGUUUGAGAUGUAUAUUCAUAUUUGAGUUGUUUUGUGACGUUGGUAAUAGUUUAGUGGUACUAGUGGUAGUGUAUGUCGUUGUUGCAGGCACUGUACUGGAUUUUUCUUUUGAUUAGAAGGUAGUUUUUAUUUAUAAUAACUAGGACGGGUAGGCUAGUCCCUUAAAAUUUUUAUAGUUUUUCAUAGGACUUUAAUGUGUAGAAUCUUUUAUUCUCCUUUCAAUUUUAGAUUUUAUAGUGUUUAUAAUUGUGUUUUGUGAACCACUAGGGCUUGGCCUAAGUGGUUAGAGCCACUCUCUCACAAGUGCUCGAAGUAGUUCGAGUCCCUGCAGACCUAUUGUAGGGGGUUUAAUUUAAAUUUUCUUUCUUGAAGCUUCAGAGCUUGAGCGAAGACAGUUUUUUUUUUUUCAAAAGGGGAGUUGGCAUCCCUCGAAUAUUUGAGAGAGUUAAAAAGCAAUAGUUCUCCUUUAAAAAAAAAAUGUGUUUUGUGAUUAGACAUUCUCCGAACUUAGGUUUAAAUCUUAGGCAUUAUCCUAAUUUAUAAUACUUACGCCAAAUAUGAUCUUGUAUGUGCACCCAACUGGCAAUAUAUUGCUGGUCGUUUAUACCAUCUAAAAUAUAUUUAGCUGUGCAAUAAAUGAUUUCGGCUUGUUAGUAAGUACAAUUCAUUCUUUAAUUUGUACUUAAAAAUAAGGAGGUAGACUUCCACGGUCUGUCCACGAUAGUUAAGUCCCAAAGACAAUUGAAGUAAAACCACUUGGGCUAAGCUCAAAUGGCCAGAGUCACUCCCCCACAAAUGUGAGGGAAGUGGUUCGAGCUUCCGCAAACGCAUUGUUGGAAUUUAAUUUCAAUUUUCUUCUUUGGAGUCCUAGAGCUUAAUGAAGGCAGUCUUUCUCCCAGGAUGGGAGUUGACGUCCUUCGAAUAUUUGAGAGGGUUAAAAAUCUGAGCGGUGCCAUAUCAGAAUUGAUAUAAACGGGUCUCAGUAUAUAUAUGAUUGUAAAUAUCAUCAUGAGCAAUAGUUCUCAUUAAAAAAAAAAAGACAAUUGAAGUAAGAUUCAUUAUUUUUUAAUUCAGUCGGUGAUGAAGUAGUACUAUUACUUUUUAUAUCUAUUAUUUUUUAAUUAAAUAAGUGGGGUCCCACGUUAAACCUACUAAACCUAUCAAAAUAAUAAACUUUUAUUGUUCGAAUGCACUACCUUGACGUAAUAAGGUGGUAUAUCGAGCCCACACAAAUUUCCACGGUAUCAGGAAUCAGGAUUCACAGGUGGAAAUAUUUGCAAAUAAAAUAAGCAAUUUCUGAAGCCACAGCGUUUCCAUGUUCUCAGGAGCUUCAGGAUUGGUUCAAAAGACGGGUAAGACAUCACCUCUGUUUUUGUAGGGCUGCCGCAUUUACCUCAGGUAACAUUUUGCUUAUGGCACCUUAGGUAAUCAUAUCGUUUAAAAAUCUAUUUAUUUAUAAUUUACGUACAUACGUAAAUUAUAUAGUAUGCCCACAAUUUUAAAGAAAGAUGUGCUUAUGAAAUAGUGAAAAAUAGAAUAUUAGGGAGACACGAAUGUAAAAAGCCUUAAAAGCCUAAAAGUCUUGAAAGAGAAAGAUGAAAGAAUUAUGUGAAUUUCAAAUAAGGACAUAUUGAAUACUAAAAAUUGGUUGGUAAAAUAAAAUAAAAUAAUUUAAUUUUUUAAAUGAAUUUAUUGAAUAAAUACAUUUAUUAAGCAUUCUGGUAGUUUUUGUUUUUAUGAUACUCAAUUUUAUUAAGGAAAGAAGGAGAAGAAAGAAUGCAAAAACACUCAUUUGAAAUGAUAUUUAGGGAUAUCCCAAGCAUACUCAUGCAAACUCUGACGAAUUGAAAUAGGAGGAUUAUCCCACCAAUUAUGAGCAUUAAGAUUUAACUCCAAAUUUGCAAGACUAUCAGCCACUGAAUCCCCUCUCUCUAGAUGUGUAAACUAGCAAAGUGUAUUCCACGAAUAAAUCUCAAACAAUUCAAUUAUAUGAUAUGCAGAUGCUACGGCGGCUUGAAUUUGGUACUCGUAAGACAAGCUAAAGUUGAAACCGAGUCCCUCUCCAACCAAAUAACAUUCCAACCUUUUCAAAGCCGCAAGCUCAUUAGCCUUUAAAAUAACAAAUAUUUUAGUAGGUUGAAAUAAUCUCACACUAUAUAAAUUUGUAAUUUCAACUUUCAAACUAGUUGUUUUUCUUUAUAUGGUGGUUUCAUAAACGUGAACUGUUAGAUUUAUUUCUCACAUUAUGUGGACUGACAUAAAUCAUUCUAAUUCUGCUGUACGGCCAAGGCGGAUGUACGGUACAGCAGCCAAUGGAAAAUUUUCAUCUGGAUAGAUGCAAUAUUAUGAUUUUUUUUAAAUAUUUUGUGUCUUGCUUUAUGCUUGUUUUGUUUUUGUAUUGGUGUUAAAAAGAGUACUUUUGCUUUGUUUAAUUUUACUAUUGCGGCAAGUGAUAUUAUGAAAAGGAUUUGAUCUAAUUUAUGGGUAUCAUCUGGCUGAAAGCAAGAGAUCUGAGAUUCGCACCCUACUAAAAUGGGUGGGGAAGCGACUAGGUUUUUGUUAGGUUAAAAAAUAAAAGAAAUAAAAAAAAUAAAAGGAAUGGAAUAAGAUCAUUAAAUAAAUAAAAGGGUAUUCUACACAAUUUAUUCUUUAAGUACUAUGACUAUCACUCUCAAAAAUCUAAUUUUUAAGGUUUUACUAAUAGAAACAAAAUAACUUAUUUAAUCUUCAAAAGUUAUACUCAAAAUACAAUCAAACUAUCGAAGUUGUCCCACAUGGGUUGUGAAAAGGGCUAUUGGUGAUUUUAUAAAUAUCAAGAAAAUCUCACCCCCGAAGCUAGCUUUUGGGGUUGAGAGAAGUUUAAGACUACCUAACACUAGUAUCAGUGUCCACAUUCACCAACAAUCUCAAUCCAACAAUCUAAUAAAGAGAACGAGUGUCUAUCUUCUGACCCAAGGCCCGAUGUGUGAGGGGAAUUGUUGGAGUUAUCCCACUGUUGGGCGUUAGAUAUUUUAUACUAAACAAACACUACGUUAGAUAGAAAAUUAAAAAUAUUAAAAAUAAUUUUGAUUGAAUUUUUUUCAUAACAAAUUACUAUAUUGACUUCCAAUGUGGACACAUGCACAAAAGGAAAAUAUCUUGUUAAUUGAUCAAUGAUCAUCUGACGCAAAGAUAUUAAAUGAUAAAAAUUUGAUUAAUUAAUGCGUGGUUAAUUAUCUGACUAGUUUAUAUUAACCAUCCAAAUACAGACGUAAUUAAUUUGCACACAAAGUUGAAAACAUGUAUUUUGUUGAAAUCUUAUUGGCUCUUUGAAUUCAUCAUUAAUCGUCUUAUUAAUGGAAAUUUGAAGCUUUCGGCUAAGUGCUAAAGAAAGCACAUUCCAUAAAUCACUAUAAACUCAGAAACAUAUGUAAUAAAUUAUCAGCUAUACUCAACAUCAAAUUCAAUCUUAGAAUUAACAUGACUGAAGUGAAGCUUCAUGGGGUAUUGCUGAGUCCAUAUGUUUACAGAGUGAUUUGGGCUCUGAAAUUGAAAGGCGUGCCAUACGAAUUUGUUGCAGAAGAUCUCUCAAACAAAAGUGAUUUGCUUUUGAAGUAUAAUCCAGUUUAUAAGAAGAUCCCUGUGCUUGUCCAUGGCGAAAAACCAGUUGUUAGUGCAUUCCUAUGUUGCUAAAGGAUGCCUAACAUAUUGUGUUGCUAUUGGAGAAACUUAGAAUGAGGAGCAAUUGAUUAUAGCAUGAUUUUAAUUUUUGCAUGCUUGAUAAUUCUUUUGUUAUUGCUUCCUCAGCUCUAGAUAUUCUCUCCUUUCUCCAAGUAGCCUCCCUCAAGAAUUUAACUGGGAAAAAUUUUGAGGACUAGCGUGAGUCCAUUUUGUUUUAUUUGUCUACACUGAAUAGAGACUUGGCAUUAAGAGUUGAUGAACCAGCCAAGCCCACAGAUAAGAGCACUGCUGCUGAAAAAGCAGAGUGGGCAGCUUGGGAUGAAUCCAAUAGACACUGUCUGGAUACAAUGAAAUACACCAUUGAUAGAACAACUAGAGAUAGCAUCCCUGCAUGUGAUAAGGCCAAAGAUUACUUGGCAGCUGUUGGAAGAACUUUUAAGAAGGUAGAUAAGGCAGAAAAGGGUAACUAUCUGAGGCUGCUUGCUAACACUCAGUAUGAUGGUGUUUCUGGAGUGAGAGAGCACAUCCUUAAGAUGACNNNNNNNNNNNNNNNNNNNNNNNNNNNNNNNNNNNNNNNNNNNNNNNNNNNNNNNNNNNNNNNNNNNNNNNNNNNNNNNNNNNNNNNNNNNNNUAUUGUCUAAUUUUUUUAGCAUACAACAUAUAUAUUAAUCAUGUGGUGAUAAUAAUUAGAUUAAAAAAUACUGUGGCAGAUUGUUGCUAUUUUGGGAUUGUUUCGUAGCAUUACUGGACAAGAACUAGAGAAUGCAACGAAGGAACUCUUGGAAAUCCUACAAACCCUUGAAGAACAUGGGCUGGGAGAGAAUUUUUUUUUCAAUGGAGACAAUAUUGGCUUAGUUGACAUAGCAUUUGGUUCAAUGCUUUUUAGGAUGCAAGUCAUUGGAGACGUAGUGGGAGUUAAACCAUUUGAAUCACACAAAUUUCCUAGCUUGCAUGCCUGGUUUGAAAAUUUCAAACAAAUCCCUGUAAUUGAGGAAAACUUUCCUAAUAGGGAUGAAUAUUUUGUUUAUAUCAAACGUCGCCGUGAAGAGCUGUUGGCCUCUGCUUGAAUGCAGUAGCACAAAGUUUGUUUGUAUGGCUCACGUGUGCUUGUUUUGUUCUUGUAUUGGUGUUUAAAGCAGCUCUUUUUUUCUAUGUUUUUGUUAUUGUCUAGUUCCAAGCUCGGGAGGCUAGCUGACCGGGUCACCGGGGUACUUUGAAUAGAUAUGAAUAAUAAAAUAAGGGACUCAAUUUGUAUAUAUUAAUUUCUAUCUUUCUUUUAAUGAUAUUUAAAAAUUAAAAAAAAAUUCUAAGGGUACAACAUUCCACAAACAAUACACACAUGCGCGCGCGCGUACACACACACAUAUAUAUAUAUAUAUGAGGGUGAGGGUGGUGAUAUUUCCACCCACUACUUUUGUAAACAUUCAUAUCCAAUGGUUGUAUUUUUAUUUUGUUUGAAAAUAUGUUUUUUUUUAAUAUGCUACACUUGUAUUGAUGCCUUUAUGAUCAGGUUUCUAUCGGGACUCAUUUUAAAUUUACCCUCACUAAUUUGUGGAGAUGCGCUGUAAGUUUCUCUAAUUAAUAUAACUUUUAACAACUCAAAUCUUGCAGAUACUAUUUAUCGAGAAAGUAUUGUGAGUUCUCGAAAUAGCACAAUAUUAUGCUAGCGUGAUCAUAUCCUACCCAAUAAAAAUUUCGAGUUCUAUUAUUCAGCAUCUCUUUUUGCUUGUGUUUCUAUACUGUUAUGCAACUUCAAAUGUUUUGUUAAGCUUCGAUGUUUGUAAGUUAAAUUUACAAGGUUUAUGAUGUUUUAUCUUGACGAAGUAAGAAUUGAACUUAAUUUGUAUUUAAUUAUCUAGAACUUACAUUUUGUAAGUAAUUUUUCUUAUUAUGCAUUGUAGAUCUGUUCUAACGAUUCACAAUAAAUGCAAUGAUUUUGACUAUUUUUCUACUAUCAAACAAAAAUGAAAGCAAGUACUUGUGUUUCAAAGGUAUAGUCAAAGAGAGCAGCUGGGAACCUUGAUUUGCUGGGCACCUAGGCACUCAAAUACAACUGAUCCAUGAUCAUCAUGCAUGACGCAAUAAGUUAAAUAAAGCAUCGAUCAUGCAUGACGCAAAUAUUAAAUUGGGAAAGAAAUGUCAACUGUAUAAUUGAUACACGGUUAUCUGAGUAGUUGACCAAAUUAAUGAUCUCAUUAGCUAGCCUUUUUAAUUAAUCAAAAUAUAGAUGUAAUUUGAAAAUUAAUAAAAACAUGACCCCUCUUUUAAAUUGAAAAUAGGAUCACUUGUGAAUUCAGCAUCGUUAAAGAAUAUGAGAGAAAGGGAUGAUCCUAAUUUAUUAAAUACAUAGCGAUUAAAAAAAUGAAAAAGAAAAAUAGUGGCAGGGUGCAGCUGUUUCGAAAAUGUUUUUUUCACCAACUGACAAGAUCUAGAGAAUACAAUGAAGGAAGCCUUGGAAAUGCUUCCAACUGUUGAAAAAUAUGGCUUAGGAGAGAAGAAAUUUUUCAAUGGAGACAAUAUUGGCUUCGUGGACCUAAUAUUUGGAUCGGUUCAAGUCCUUAAGAUAUAAUAUAUAAUACCUAUUUGAUAUGAUUUAUUUAAAGGUUAUAAGUACUUGUUUAAUUUUAAUUUUUUUUUCAAAAUUUUUAUUGUUGUUUGGUUUUAUUUUCAGUCGAGCUUAUGAGAAUUAAAUAAGUUAUUUUUACUCUACCAAUAAGUGCUUAAAUUUUAAAUUUUUAAGAGUAGAGAUUAGAAUACUUUUUUAAAAUGUUAGAUUGUCUAGUAUGCUCAUUAUCUAUUUUACAUUCUUAUUUUAUCCAUAUAUAUUUCGUAGGGAGAUUGCCAAUUUCCCCCCUACAGUAAUCAACAUAUACCAUUUUCCCCCAUGUUGUUUUUAUAAUGGCCAAAAAUCCCCCUGACAGCAUAAGUUGCACAUAUAUUUCUUGUUUUUAGUACUUAAUUUUUUUAUUUAGUUUCUAUUCAUGUAAUUUAUUUAAUUUAAAAUAAAUGUAAAUAAAAGAAUAAUUAAAAAUAAUGGUAAUAUUAUAAAUUUAUGUUGUCAGGGGGAUUUUUGGCCAUUAUAAAAACAGUAAGGGGGUAAAUAGUAUAUGCAAAUUACUGUAGGGGGAAGUGGCAAUCUCCCUAUUUCAUAAUAUAACUUAAAAAACUUAUCUACUAAAUUAAUUUAAUAAUUUGUAAAGCUCUUUUGACAAGCAAUGAAUCAGACAACUAUUUUUUUGGGGUAAAAACUCUACUAUUUUAAAGUCUAUUUAAAUAAUUUAUAUUUAAAAAUUAUGUGUUCUAAACUAUCAUAUAAGGUUAAGCCCAAUUAAAAGUAAUUUAUUAACAUAUUUGAUAAAUUAAAAGUAAUUUAUCAAGGUAUACGGUAAUUUGGGCUUUAAUUGGGCUUUAAUAUAUCUAAUAAGGUGUGAAUCUUUAAUGUAUAAAGCCUUAAGGAUAAUUUCUAUUUCUAAAUGAUGGGCUAAAAUAGGAAUAUUUAAAUACAAUAGAAAAAAUUGUCUAUAUUAGUGAUUAUAAUGCCCGUGUCACACGUAUCAUUGUUCUAUUCUCUUCUGAAAUCCCAUUAUUAGAGAAAGUGCAGUGACAAACUUAAAGGAUUCUCUGAGAUAACAUGUUGAUAUAGAAGAUUAACCACGCAUCCAUAGAAAGCAAUUGGGCAUUAUGAAUUCGAGUAUGCUUCUGCAUAUUCUGUAAUUGAUUCUUAAUGGUAUAACAAAAAUAUUUUUGGAUUAUAGGUGAUGGUUCUCACUAAGAGAUUAUUAUUCCAACAGGUAGUCCCUCCCCCAAAUUGAUCAUCGUAACUUACAGUUUCGCUAAUAAGAUUAUGCUUCAUUUUGAAUAACUUUUCAAAUAGAACAUAUUCAAAUAGAGAUUUUUACUAAAUUAAUUAUUAGUUAUUUGAUUGUUACUAAGAGUUUUUAAUUAAAAUUGUAAAAUUACUUUAAUUGACAACUUUUAAAGUUAUAUAUUAUAAAAGGAAUGGUUUAAUUUGUAGUUGUCAUAUAACUAAAAACAAGAGGUUUAGGGUUCGAACUUUGUUCACAUGGGAGAGGAGGGUAUUGAGUUGCCAUUAGGCUAAACAAUAAAAAAAAUUUAAAAAUGAAAGAAAUAGAAUAAGAUUAUUAAAUAAAUAAAGGGUAUUUCAAAUAAUUUAUUUUUUAAAUAAGCUCUACAACCUUUGUUCUAAAAAAUCUAAAAUUUAAAGUUUCGCUAGUAGAAAUAGAAUAGCUUCUUUAAUAUUCAAAAGCUCUACUCAAAAUCCAACCAAACAACACUAAAUUUUGAAAUCAAAUAAUCAAGUACUUUUAGCCGGUAGAUACUUCGUACUAAACAUGGACUAAGUUAGAUAGAAAAUUGAAGAAAAAAACUAAAAAGUAAUUUUAAUUGAAUUUUUUUAUAACAAAUUGCUAUGUGUGCCGUGUGCGGUCCAGUGCGCAAAAGGAAAGUGUCUUUUUGACUAAUUGAUCCAUAAUCAUCAUCCAUGACGCAAAGAUAUUAAAUGGGAAACAAAUGCCAAAAAUUUGAUUAAUUGAUCCGCGGUUAUCAGCUGACUUGUUUAUAUUAACCCUCCAAAUAUAUACGUAAUUAAUUUGCACACAACUUUGAAAAUUUUAUUUUGUUGAAAUAUAUUAGUCCCUUGAAUUCAUCAUUAAUCGUUUUAUUAAUGGAAAUUUGAAGCCUUCUGCUAAUUGCUAAAGGAAGCACAUUCCAUAAGUCACUAUAAAUUCACAAACAUAUGGAAUGAGUUAUCAGCUAUACUCAACAUCAAAUUCAAUCUUAGAAUUAACAUGGCUGAGGUGAAACUUCAUGGGCGAUUGCUGAGUCCAUUUGUUUGCAGAGUGAUUUGGGCUCUGAAAUUGAAAGGCGUGCCAUACGAGUUUGUUGCAGAAGAUCUCUCAAACAAAAGUGAUUUGCUUUUGAAGUAUAAUCCAGUUCACAAGAAGAUCCCAGUGCUUGUCCAUGGCGGAAAACCUGUUUGUGAGUCCAUGAUUAUUCUCGAGUACAUUGAAGAGACGUGGCCACAGAAUCCCUUGAUGCCAAAUAAUCCUUAUGAUAGAGCUCUUGCUCGAUUUUGGAUUAAAUUCGCCGAAGACAAGCUGGUUCGCACCACAACUCUAGCAAUCCCGUUUAUAAGUGUAUUCUUUUCAAAUUUGUUUAUUUAUUUUAUGGUUUAGAUGAGAUCAUGAUAAUAAGAAACUUCACCCACUAAACCACCAACUCUUAUUCUCUAUUACUCAGAUGAUGCACGUAAAGCACGUUCAUAGUCAGUCGAGCCUAGCUGCUCAAGGGCCUUUUUCAUAAUUUAUUCGUGAAAAAUUCCUUAACUUUCAACUUUUUGGUCCUUCACUAUUUUUUCUCUAGCAAUUUUUAUAAAUCAUUAGUGGAUUAACUUCCUCGGGUGUAAAUUACUGAAAGACACAUUUUUGAUUAUUUUCAAAACAUUUAAGGAAAAAGUAAUGAAUUUACUAACUCUCUUAAUUGACUUAUCAAACCUUUAAUUAAAGGAUAUUGUGACGUGUGUACACAUUGUCUAAGUUUUCGAGCUUAGUAUUAAUCAUGUGGAGAUAAUUUAGAUUUAAAAAAAAAAUUAUUGUGGCAGGUUGUUGCUAUUUUGAAAUUGUUUCGUAGCAUUACUGGACAAGAACUAGAGAAUGCAAAGAAGGAAAUCUUGGAAAUCCUACAAACCCUUGAAGAACAUGGCUUGCGAGAGAGGAAUUUUUUCAAUGGAGACAAUAUUGGCUUAGUUGACAUUGCAUUUGGUUCAAUGCUUUAUUGGAUGCAAGUCAUUGGAGAUGUAGUGGGAGUUAAACUGUUUGAUUCACACAAAUUCCCUAGCCUGCAUACGUGGUUUGAAAAUUUCAAGCAAGUCCCUGAAAUUGAAGAGAACUUUCCUAAUCGGGAUGAACAUUUGGUUUAUCUCAAACAUCGCCGUGAACAGUGGGUGGCCUCUGAUUGAAUGCAGUAGCAUAAAAUUUGUUUGUGUAUCUCACUUUGUGCUUGUUUUAUUUAUGUACUGGUGUUUGAAGAUGUUCUUUUCUCUUUGUUUUUGUUAUUGUCUUGUGUCAAGAUCAGAAGGCUAGCUUACCAGGGUACUUUUUAUAGUUAUGAAUAAUAAAAUAAGGUACUCAAUUGCUCUACAUUUCUAUCUUUUGUUAACAAUAUUUUAAAAAAUAUAUAUGAAGCUUAUAAGGGUACAACUUUACACAUUUAUAGAUCUAAUCAAUGGGUGAGGGUAUUUCCACCACAUUACUUUUUUAAAAAUAAUAUGAACUUUUAUUUGAAUUUUUGAAAAAUAAUAUGAACUUAUUGUUAAUUAUUUAUUGAAACUAGAGCGAAAUGAAAAUGAUUAUUUAUUGGAAAUGAGGUGAAAUGGAAAUAUCAACCACCCUAAUUCAAAAUAAGAAAUUAUUGAUGCUCCACCUCUAUAUUAUCAAAUAUACAUGAAGAAUUCUCAUAAUUGAUACGCACCAUAUAUGUUUUAAAAUUUUGCAUCAACUAACAACUUUGCUAUUAACACCGUUAGUUAGUAUGUUGAAGAAUUUUUACAAAAUGAUCAUUUUACACUUGAUACUCUGCAAUGCAUUAAAGGGCCAGUUUGAAACUUUUAAAAAAAUAUAUCUAAUUACUAAAUUAACUGAAACUUUGAAAAAAAUUUAAACAGACAAGCAAACCGUCAAAUCUAACCAUUUUACCCCCGGACACACCUUCAAUUAUUUUUAAAAUUGAAAUAUUUAAGAUAAUAUGUUGCAUGAUUCAGAUGAUAAUUCGAUUAAUAUUUUUUGAAUUUGUUACUUAUUUUAUUUAAAUAAAUAUUUGGACGAAUUAAAAAAAAUUAAUAAAGUGAACAGGAUCUGACGGCUAGUCAAUAUUGAGCAAGUAUUAAGCAAGAUUUGUUUCCAACAAUUUAAGCCUUGAUGAAUGACAAAUCAGGAGUCUCGUUGGUAUGGACCAAGAUAGUUGAGCAUUUGAUUCAGCACUUGACCGAGAGAGUUGCAUAUCUGCCACCUGAUUCUGGUAUGAUUGAGCAAUUGCUGGUAAUUUAUGAGUUUCUUCAUGCAUGGGAACCCACUUAAAUGAAUUCGGAUUAUUUGUAUUCUUUGUUUGUCUUACUGUUCAAAACUUCCGUAUAUAGUAAAAGAAUCAAACGUUUUAUUAAGGGAAAUCUGAUCUAAGCUUUCUGAUUGCUUAAGCAAGCACACUUCAUCAAUUACGAUAAAUUAAUUCAGAAACAUUUGCAAUGAGUUAUAUCAGCCGGCUACUGAAACAACCACACACAAACAUGGCUGAUCUAUAUUCUUACACAGAGUGAAAUGUGCUCUAAUAUUGAAAGGCAUACCAUAUGAAGAUAUACAUUGAUGAAGAUGAUUUACUCUCAAACGGAAGUACUUUGCUUUUGAAUUACCAUCCAGUUCACAAAAAGGUCCUCGCUAGUGCUUGUUCAUGGCGAAAACCCAGUUUGUGAGUCCAUGGUUAUUAUCGAAUACAUUGAAGAGAUGUGGCCACAGAAUCCCUUGAUGUUGAAUGAUCCUUAUGAUAGAGCUCUGGCUCGUGUUUGGAUUAAAUUUGCCGAAGACAAGGCUCGCAUCACUGCUCGAGCUAACAUGUUUAUAAGUUUUUUCUUUUCAUGUUUGUUUGUCAUUAGAGAAAAUGAUCAAAAUACCUCUACUAUUAAUCAAAGUUAAUCAUUUCUCAUGUGGGAUUUUAAAAUCCAUCAAAACCGCUUUUACUGCUAAAAAAGUGUUUACCCCUAAAAUGUUUGAUUAUUCAAUUGGGGUUUUACUACAUCAAGAAAGAAAUGGUAAAAGAGAUAGAAAAAUUUGGAAGUUAGAAGUUGAAAGUGAACUUUUUCUAAACGUAUGAUAUAUAUAAAGGUGGAAAACUAUUAAUUCACUGAAUUAACAAAGUGGUUUUGAUCAUUUUUCCCUGUGUCAUUGAGACUUAUAGUGGUUAAAUUAUAUUAUCGGCUUAUCAAACUUCUAAUGGAUACUGUGACAAGUAUACAUAUAGUAUUAGGUUUUUUUUUUAGCUUAUAUAUAUUAAGGUAGCAAUAUUUCCACCCUACAAAAUCUGUAAAUCCACCCCACUUCUAAAAUUUAAUGAUAAAAAAUUUACAUUAUUUCUAAAAAUUUCAAAUAAAGAAGAAUUAUGAAGAAUUAAUUUGUUAAAUCUUUCUUAAAUUCUUAAUUUAUUUUGUGUAACUUAGUUUUUUUUAAAUAUAUUUAACAACUAAGAUUGCUUUGGCCUAAAUUUAAAUUGAUUAUUUUAUCCUUAAAAUGUAAAAGCACCAAAAUUUUACUCUAACUUUAAUUUUUUUAUUUUAUACAAAAUUCAUUAUUUCUAAAUGGUCAAUUCUACUUUACUUGUAUGAUUAUUAACCUUUAAUUAGACUAACACAAUGUUUUUAUGAGCCAAUACUUAUAUAAAUUAUUAAGUUUUCAAAUUUAUGUCAUUUACAUGUAAAAUAUUAAAAAUUAUUAAAUUUCAUUUAAAAAGUUAGAUUAUUAGUCAUAAAAUUAAGUACCUAAAGUAUUAGAUAUAAUAAUACAUAUUUCUUCAGGUAAUUAGGUCAUUUUAUAUCAUAAAGAUAAAAUAAUUAAAUUAAACUUAUAUUAAAGCAACCUUAAUAAUUAAAAAAAAAAUGUAAGAGUGAUUUAAUUGAUUAAUUAUAUAAAUAUUUUUGUUGAUUUAUAUUUACUAGAAAUAAUGUGUAUUUAUUGUAAAUAUUUUUUAAAAGUGAGGUGUGUCAAUGGGGUGGAAAUAUCCCCACCAUAUAUACUAUUAAUCAUGUCGCUUAAAAAUAUCUAUCAAGUCCCUGAAAUUGAAGAAAAACGGGAGAAGAUGUUGGUCUAUUUCAAAUGUUGUCGGGAAAAGUUAGCCGCGCCUGCGUGAACAGUGAAUAUUGUAGUAUCAUAAAAUUUGUUUGUUAGUGUUGCUUUGUACUUGUUCUGUUUUUGCAUUAAUUGUUGUCAAAGAAUUCUUUACACUUUGCUGAAUUUGACUGCCAAGUAUUAAGACGAGCUUACUCGUAAUUUUUUUAUGGACAGGAAAUAAUAAAAGUGACUAAAUUUAUUUUUAUUUUUAUUUUUAUUUUUCCUCCUAACAACAUUACAAAAGAGUGACAAAAUAACCAUCAAAACUACAUAGUUUUUUUUUUCUAGUUUUUUUAAACAAUCAAAAUGACUUGUUUUUGGUGGUUAUUUGCCACCCUUUUUGAUAAAUUUUUGGUAGACCUCAGUCGGCAGUACUGAUCAGUAAGAAAAAACACUUGUUUGUUCUAAUUACAGUUCUAUUUUUGUUUUGUGUGAAGAUAAGUUGGAAUUUGGAAACAAAGAUGAAAAUUUGUCAUAUCUCAACUAGGCCACACAUCUAAAAGAAAAAAAGAAAUGAUUAAAACAAAGUCUUAUUUGCACAAUUAAAGUAAGUAAAAUCUCGUGAUAAGAAUUUUAAAAAAAGGUACCCACUCCGCUGCCCAUACAUGUUUUGUUCUUCUAAUUAAUUUUUUUAAUAAUAUAAUAUUCAAAUAUCAAAUACAUUUUCGUUAUUUUCAUUUUUUAAAUUCUAAUUUUAAGAUUGGUUGAAAAAAAAAAUUCAAUAUUAAGACAACUGAUUCUAAAAAAUGAUUUGCCAUUGUCUUUGCAACCUUUUGCACAAGCAAAGAAAAUGGUCCACAACCCCAUUAAAUUAAUGAUCAUGUGUUUGACAUUGUUGUACAGGCACCGUCAAUUAGAGCAUGCAUACACAGCAAAGCCAAAUGCAGAAUUUUAAAAAAUGAAACUUAUUGCUCUAAGUUAAAAAAAAAAAAGGAAAGAGAUACAACCCCAUUAAAUUAUGAGCAUUGACCCCACAUAUAUAUAGAGUGUGAAAAUCUUUACUUUAAAUAUAAAAAACACAAAUUUUAAUACUUUAAAAAUUAUAUUUUUUUUAACUAAUAGCAUAUUAAAAUAUGUAUUAUUUUUAUUCUUUAUGACAUUCUCACUUUGAUAUAUAUAUAACUCAUAACUGGCAACAAUGGAAGAAGUGAAGCUGCAUGGAUUUUGGGCUAGUCCUCUUGGCCACAGAGUGAUGGGGGUACUGAAGCCCAUGGGUGUUUAUAUGAUGAAUAAAUAGAGGAAAAUCUUCCUAACAGUUAAGUGAAUUGCUCUUAAAACAUAUAUAAUCCUGUUCACAAAAGAAUUCCUCUACUUGUUCAUGGUGUAAAUCCCAUCUGUGAAUCGCUUAUUAUCCUUGAAUAGAUCGAAGAAACAUGGCCUGAAAAUCCAUUGCUGCCAACUGAUGAUAAUUAUGAGCGAGCCACAGCUCGGUUUCAGCUUCGUUCUUUUGAGCAGACAAGGCAACUUUAAAUAACAGAUACCAUAAAUGAUUCGUUUUGUAAAAAAAUGAUCAAAAACCUCUGGUUGUUUCAGUAAAAUAAUUAUUUCCUCUUCUUAAAUUUUAAAACUCUUUGAAACCGUCUAUUAUUGAAAGGAUUCAAAUUCUCUACUCAACUUGUUUAAAAAAAUUGAGAGAUCGUCAAUUUUCCUACUACUAAAAUUAAUAUAUAUCACUUAUUCUUACUUUAUAAGAAAAGAGAGAUAAAUAGAUCAUUUAUUUAAUAUUUGAUCUUGGGAAUAUAAAAUAUAUAUUUAUUAUAAGAAAAAAAUUGUUUAAAAAAUAACAAAAACUACAAGAAAAUUUUCUUAUUAUAUAUUCUUUUAUUCACACUAAAACGUAUAUUUCUUAUUUUCAAUAUUUGAAUUUUUUAUUUUAAUUUAUAUGAUUUACUUAAUUUAUAACUUAUAUUUCUUAUUUUUAAUAUUUGAACUUUUUAUUUUUAUUUUUAUUUAUACGAUUUACUUAAUUUAUAAUGAACAUUAAUAAAAUGUAUUAUUUGCAAAUGAAAGUAAUACUAUGAAAUUAUGUUUUUAACAGAGUUAUUGGGUAUUAUGAGAAUAAUAGGAGGCAUAAGUCAUAUAUAUUAAUUUUGAUGGAAAAAAAACUAAACUGAAACUAUUUGGUAAUUAAUCAAGAUUAAUUAUUAAACAGCCUCACCUUAGUUCCAAAAAAUGAAUGAAGAGCAAAAGAAGGCAGCAAAGUGUCACCGCCCGAUUUGUUCCCACGCUAUGCCGGCGGCCUUAGGCGCCAAAUUUGCACUCUCUUGGCCUUACGUCAGCCUUACACCCAAAUCCGUUGACGGAUUCAAAAAGCAAAAUGAGUAUUUACUCUAACUCACUAAAGAUGGGAGGAAAAGACUUCUAUUGCUCAAUAAAAUGCUUUCAAAGCUAUGUGUGCUGGAAUUGUAGAUUGGUUGUGAUUGAUUUGGCCAAAUGAGACCCUCUUCUAUUUAUAGAGUACAAGCAAGUAUCUAGAAAGUGUCUAGAGUUAUCACAACUACCACAUAAACACAUUAAUUACAAAGGAAAUAUCUAUAUGCUCUACACAAGUCUCCAUAGCUCUAGAAUUCUCCAUGGGCCAGGCCAUGUGGAGGCUUGGGCCAUGACAUUCUCCCCCACCUAUUCUGGAGACGUCCUCGUUGACUCGCUGUGGAAGGCUUUGAUCUUGUCUUGGAACUACCACAAAUCGUUUGCGACUCCCAACUUGCUUCGCUCUCGAGUAGUCCCUUCCACUUGACGAAGUAUUCUUGGCUUGGCAGAAAACUCUUCUUCCGAACCACACGAUCAGCCAAAAUGGUCUCCACUUCUUUGUCAUAUACCAUUGUGUUGCCAAGUGGAGGGCGCUUGGAUUCUCCCCUUUUCGGAUCUUCCGUAUCCCCAUUGUAUGGCUUCAACAACUCACGUAGAAGACCGGAUGGAGUUUUAGCCAAGAGGGUGACUAUAGCUUGUACGACACAUUGCCGACCCUCUUGAUGAUGGGAAAUGGCCCCUCGUAUUUCCGGAUGAGGCCCUUCUGCAGCGAUCGUGUAGACUUGUGCUGGGACAAAAGGAUCUUGACUAGCACCAUGUCCCCCACAUUGAACUCCAAGUGUCUAUGCUUGUUGUCCGCCCAUUUCUUCAUCCGCUUGGUCGCUUUGUUAAGGUGCGCCCGUGCUAUGUCUGCUUGCUCAUGCCAUGACUUAGCCACUUUAUAUGAUGUGGGACACCUCUCGGUAUAGCUCGUGAUGAGUGUGUGUGGCGUAAGCAGCUGCUGUCCCAUGAUCACCUCGAAAGGGCUCCUCGAUGUGGCCUCGCUCUGCUGCAAGUUGUAGGAAAAUUGGGCCACGUCCAGCAACUUCGCCCAAUCAUGCUGGUUGGCACUCACGAAAUGCCGCAAGUACAGUUCCAAUAAGGCAUUCACCCUCUCUGUUUGCCCGUCGGUUUGUGGAUGAAAGCUCGUAGAAAAGUGUAGCGCCGACCCCAUAAGCUUGAACAACUCAAUCCAAAACCUCCCCAUAAACUGGCUGUCGCGGUCGCUAAUGAUGGAUUUCGGAAGUCCCCAAUACUUCACCACGUGCCUAAAGGAAAGCUUGGUCGCGUCCUCCAUUGUGCACUCCUUCGGGGCGAGAAUAAAAGUGGCAUAUUUCGAGAAUCUGUCCACCACUACAACAAUAGUCACAAACCCCUCCGAUUUCGAAAGACAAGUGAUGAAAUCCAUCGAUAUACUCUCCCACGGUCGAUCCGGAGUGGGCAGUGGCUCAAGCAACCCUGCGGGACAUUGUUGCUCUGUUUUGUCCUGUUGGCACACUAAGCACGUCCGCACGAACUGCUCCAGCUCAUCCCGCAUCUGAGGCCAAUAGUAUGCCGACUCAAGCAAUGUCUGCGUCCGCCUUUGUCCCGGGUGUCCAGUUCCGACGCAAGUUUCCCCACUUCGAAACAUAGACACGCCGUCCCUUGGUGUAUAAAAGACCAUCAUCGAACUAAAACCUCUUCGAUUUCCCCUGUUGCACGAGAGAAACCAGCUGCUUGGCCAAGGGAUCAUGCUCUGUUCCCUCCUUGGUGAGUGCAAGAAACUCUCCUUGUAUCCGACUUAUGGCAGCAAGCUCGGUUAUCCAACUCAAGGCGUCCGCUACCAAAUUAGCCUUUCCAGGCCUUUCAAUUAAGGAUUGAAAAUACAAAAUAAAUAAAAAAAAGACAUAUAAUUAGCCUGAAAAAAUAAACAAAACAUGUUUGACAUCAUAAGGUUUUAAUUUUUUUUUCUUUUAUACUCUUGUCUUUUUUUUUUUAAUUUUUGGAGUUAAUUAAUUUACUUAAAACACGCUGAAAAUCAAAAUUAGCUUAAAGUUCUAAUAUCAAUUCUAUUAAAGAGUAGAAGAAAAAGAUAUAUAUUUUAACCAAAAGCUAAUACACCCCAAUAGGUUUCGAUGAAGCAGAAAAUUUAAUUUCUGAUUUUCCACAUGAGAGAAAAUUCUUCCUCUCUGAUUUUUUUAUACAAAGAAAGGCAAUCAAGCCUGAAGAGAGAGAAAGAGAGAGAGAGCCAAAAACUCUUAUAAGCUUUGAUUAUUAAUUUACAUAUUGCCAUAACGAACAUCACUGAACUUGCCUUUGAUCCAUUUGAAGCUGUUUCUGACACUUGAUUUGAGCUUAUUUUCCACGGUAAAAACAUUAUAAGAUGCAAUUCUCUUCUUCCUUUUAAUCUCCGGAUCACUUGACGUUGCAAAUCCAUUUCCUUUGCUGCUUGGUCCAUUGAAAAUGUACGCAUUUGAUUGGUUGUCAAAAUCGAACUCGCCCGAAAAUGACGAUGAGUACUCAGGGAAUGACUUGCUCUUCUCCAUUAUGAUCAGAGUAAAAUUGAUUUUGAGAAUAAUAAGGUGCUUAGCCUUAGCUAUUCAGGUUCAAUAUAUACUAUACUUCUUUUGGGUUCUUUCCCUUUCAUGGGAUUUAUUUUAUAGCUAGCAAAACUUUUGAGGUUUUGGUACACAUUCACAUCAAUUAAAUUUUAUUGGAUAAGGUAUGGACGGUAGUGAUUAUUUACUUGGAUCGAAGGAUUUGAUUAGGAACUCUGCUAAAUUUUUAAAGAUUUUAAACCUUUUUUUUUUAUCAUUUUAAAUUUGAUGCCAUCUAAUCACUUGAGUGAAUUUAAAAUCCAUUCCUAAUCCCAAAUUAGUAACUACUUUCAUUUUUUUAAUUUACUCACUAUGAAGAUGAAAUCUUUUUGAUCCCUUAAAUUUGUACCAUCUUAAUCAUUUGAUUGAAUUUAAAAUGCAUCGCUAAUUCUAAGUCAGUGAUUACUUUUAACUUUUUUUAUUUAUUAUCCACCAAAUCGCUUGAGUGAAUUUUAGUUGGAGAAGAUCAAAUUAUGAUAAAAUCUUGAUCGAAAAGAGAUUAGGGAUAUAUUUUAAAUUUAGAUUUUUUUUUUUCUUUUAAGUUAAUCUCUGUUGCAGAUGUAUGCACUGAAAAAAAGUAUGCGCUUAAACUAAGAACUGAGUAUAAUGGUACAGAACAAUACAACGUUGCUUCCAUAAAGUCGGCAUUUUGUGAAAAUAAAGAAGAUCGAACAAAUUUUGUCUUUGUUUUUGUUAUCUUGAUUAACUUUUUACUUGAGAAUGUAAAAAUCAUGCAACGUAUCAUCGCAUAGCUAAUAGAAAGUGGUCUAUCUAAAGUACAUAGUCUUUUUAUUGUUUAAAAUUAUCACUAAAUCUAUCAAUUUUUUUUUUUACUAAAAUUUGCCAUUUAUAAUCCACAAUUCUAAAUUUAACCGAAAUAAUUAUAAAAUGUAAUAUAAAAAUUUGAUGCCUAUUAUACAAUAGCUGUAUCAUGGCUCACUUUUCUUCCUUUUUCUUUUUUUUUUUUUCCUUAAUGAUAGUCACGAGAUCUUUCAUAAUGCAAAUAAUUUAGAGGUACAAGAGUAUCUCAAUAUUUAGAUGUGUUGGUGGUGAUCCAGUGUGGUGGCAGACCAUGUGUGAUGUUGGUGGCAUGCUUUGCUAAUAGUUGCGAUAUAGUGAGGGGAAAAUCAUGAGAGCCAGUGGGGUGAUGGGGCCUAGUUGUUGUAGGACUAAAGCAUCAUUUAGUGAUGGCAAAAAUGAGUUCACAUGGCGAUAGGAUUAGGGAUCCCACUAAAACUCACCAAAAAGUGUAGGGGUCCAAUUCUAGUUGAGUAUUCAUUCACAGGCUUCAAGAUAUGUAAUUGAAACUAGCUAAUAAAUUAGUGAAUAUAUAUAUAUAGAUUAUCAGAAUUCCACCGAAACCCAGUUAAAAAUGCAGACACAUUGCAUUGGACAACGAAUUUCACAACUUCAAACAUGUCCAAUGUCUAGUCAAUUAAUUUUUAAUAGUCAGCCGAUGUAAAAUUUGCCUUUAUGAAAAGCAAUUAAAGGAGUCAUCUUCCACUUUAUUCUUACUUUGUGUUGGUGGCUUAAUGCUUUGUGGGCCUUCGUUGUUUUUUUUUUUCUGGAGCAUGCAUUAACUAUCUCGAGGCUUCCACUUUAUAAAUAAUCCUUGCAAAUUGCAUAUCUUUAAGUUGGCUUCUUGAUUAUUUUCUAAUGUGAUGUGAUAUCACACAUCACGUUUGGAAUGAUCACAACCGUUGAUUUUUCCUUGGUGGGACCCAACAUUAACUCAAUAAUCUUCGUAGAUCAACUUCGUUAUUAAGGAAUAAAACAUUUUAUUGGGUAGGGACUAGGCAAAGGAUUUUGCUGCCUGUAAUUUAUUUAAGAAAAUGGGGCCUUUUCUAAAUAUAAAAUCAGAAGUCAUGGCAGGAUAGUCUCCAAUUAGUUUAUAAAGUUUGCCUCUUAAUGCUUUUAGGCAAAGGAUUUAAAAAUAUUCAGUGAGUAUAUUCUAAAAAAUAUUAGUUUUUAUUGGAUUGAAUAUAAGAGUUUAUAUUAAAACUUCAAGUUAAAAUAUUGCUACCCACUAUUACAUUAUAAUAAAAUAGGAAAAAAAAAAGAAACUUAUAAUUUGAUGAUUAAUCAACUAUCGUGAAUAGAAACAAGGCCUAACAAACAAUACCUAGAAGAUCUUUUCGAUUCUCCCCAACCUUUACACUUCUAAUCUUGAUGAGAUACACACCAUAUGGAAUAUAUCUUAUCUAUUUAUACAAUUAUUGCAUAUUGCACUAAAUUUAAUGGGAAGAAAAUAACACCACUGAUUAAGAUUUGUUAUCACUAGGUUGUGGCAUCAAUUAUUGAUUGCCCACCUAAGCUCAAGCUUAUCUAUUAAAUACUUUAUUGGUUUCAUAAAGUAUACCAUGCUAUACAAAAUUACAAUAGUUUUGAGUUAUGAAUAUCCUUAUAUUGGAAAAAAUUUAAAACCUCUGUGUAUAAAUACAGAUUGAAUUUAAGCGGUUAAUAGAUCCGAUCGAAUCUAAUUAUUUUAUACUAAUUGAACAUGUAUUCUCUUAAAAGUAUAUUCUUAUAAAGUUUUAUUAGCGCAUACAACUGCAGGCAGGAAGAUAGCAGAUUAAAGACAAAACAUAUUCUUGUAAUUAAAACUUUCGAAGAUAAUCAUUGAUCGAGAGAAAAAAAAAAAAUAUAUAUAUAUAUAUAUAUAUAUACACACACACAUACCUAAUAAGAGGAUAUUAGGAGCUUUACCCUUAUAAAAAUAAUGCUAGAGAUCUCAAUAGUUAAAUUACAAUUGAUGUGACAUUAAUUCAUUUUGGCUCCACUUUGAUUAUAAGAAUGAUUAAGAAAAGCAUUUCUAGGAUCAUAAUGUCAUGCUAUAGAAUUAGUUCCAACAAUUUUCGUUUCAGGCAUUGGGGCUAUUGUUCUGUACAGCGUCCAGAGAGAGGGGCACGGUGCACCUGUUGGACCGUAGCUGGAUGAAAGUCACAAGAAAAAAAAGAAGACUUAUGUGACCAAAUGGUGGUCUUGAUGUGACCAAUAGGUGGUCUUGAAGUGCGACUUAUUAUUUUUUAAUUUGAAUAAACUACCUAAAAGACUUUGGCAUAAUUACAAAAUCUUCAUCGUCUCGGGAUUCACAACUCACAAGUAGAAGUCUUUGCAGAUAAAAGCAGUUUCAGAAACUACAAUGUUUCCAUUUUCUCAGCUGUUGAAGCUUCAAAACAGGUUCAUAACUUGGGUACGAUAUUACGUCUGCUUUUGUAAGGCUGCUGCAUUUCUGUCAGGUAAUUUUGCAUGUGGGGCCUUAGGUAAUCCUAUCUUUUAAAAAUGUAUUUAUUCAGAACAUAAACUUGUAUACAUAUAUAUAUAUAUAUAUAUAUGAGGGUCUUUAUUUUUUUUAAUGGAGACACACUAGUAAAUUAUAUAGUUUAAUAGAAUUAAUUUUCAAUGCACUACAAAAUCAUGUAAUUUAUUUAUUUGUACUAAUACUGUUAAACCAUACAAUUUAAUACAUGUACAUAUAUUUUUUUUAUAUUUUACUAACAUCAUUACUUUAACAACAUGAUGAUGUAUGUUGCCGAUCAAUUAAGAGAACAUGGUAAAGGAGGGAGAACAGAAAAUUCAAAUGAGGAUCAAGUAAUGGCUCAGAAAAGAGUGUGGUGGCGGUUUGCCUGGUGCUGUGGUGCAGCUGCGGCAUUCUACGCAAAUAAUAUUAAGACAUGGAAGAAGACUUUCAUGUUCACAUUGUUGUUUAUGGGGGGCAGUUUGAUCCUCCUGUUGUUAGGUAUUCCCUUUUAUCAUAAUACAGAAAUACCUCCUAUUGACCGUUUUGCUAUAAUCCGCGUUGUUAAAACCUCCCUGAAGAAAAAGCAUCUCAAUUAUCCUCUUUCUCCGGAGCUGUUCUUCAGUAAUGAUGAGGGAAACGUAUUACACUUGUCACCCAGAAUCAAAUUACUCAGGUAUAUGCCUAACAUGUAUACACCCACACCCGGCCCGUGGUCUGGCAAAAUUGUCGGGGAGACCCUCUUAUUUUUAUUAAUAAUUAUAUAAACCUCUUUAUGGACACAUUAAUACCCUUUUGUGUUCGGGAAUAGUCACACCGACCUCCAAGAUUUGUCCAAAAGGGCGUAUUCAUAAACGCGUCUGUGUGAUCAUUUUGCCAAACCAGGAGCUGUCGCUUUCUAUUUUCCUAAAAAAUUACCAAUAAAUUAAUUCUUUGAAUUGCAGAUGGAUAGACAAAGCGGCAAUUAUAGAGACAUCAAGUACUUCUAACGAACAAGAAGAGGCAGGCACACUUUGCACUGUGGCCCAGGUCAGGGAGUCAAAAUCUCUUCUUAAAUUGUUGCCAUUGUGGUCUAGCUUCAUUGUGUUUGGAUUGGUUCUGUCAGCAGGAAAUACAUUUUUUCCUGAGCAGGGAGCCAACAUGAUUUCUGAAAGAUACUUAAUCUUUCUACGAACUUUUAAAGGGAUAAUUCGUGCAACGAUCUCUUAUCUGUCAAAAAAUUUAAUUUCCAAUUUUGUUCCAAAAACUAAAAAGAGACAAGCUCAAGUGUUGAGAACAUUCAUUGGAAUGGUGAUGACUACAGUUUGCUGUGUAGUGGCAUGGCAGGUUGAGGUUCGUAGGUUGGAAAAGCUCAAACAAUUGGAAAAUAUGAGCAUGUUUUGGCUUGUUCCACAAUUCUGUCUAUUAGGUCUUAUGGAAGGGCUUGCUUGGUAUGGAUGUGAUGAAUACUCGAGCUCUCAUUUUCCUGAACGGAUGGAGUACCAUGUAUCAGCAAUAAGUUAUUUUUUCGUCGGAAUUGGAAGCAUUUUUAACAUCUUUUUCAUUUUGGCAAACAAAGGCGAGUUUGCUGAAACCUUGGAUUAUAGUAGGAUUGACAAGUACUAUAAGAGUUUAACAGUUAUUAGUGCUGUGAACGUGUGCUACAAUUUUCUCUUGUCGAUCCUCUACAUAGGGAGUGAUCAGAGCGUAGAUAAUGAGGGACUACAGACNNNNNNNNNNNNNNNNNNNNNNNNNNNNNNNNNNNNNNNNNNNNNNNNNNNNNNNNNNNNNNNNNNNNNNNNNNNNNNNNNNNNNNNNNNNNNNNNNNNNNNNNNNNNNNNNNNNNNNNNNNNNNNNNNNNNNNNNNNNNNNNNNNNNNNNNNNNNNNNNNNNNNNNNNNNNNNNNNNNNNNNNNNNNNNNNNNNNNNNNNNNNNNNNNNNNNNNNNNNNNNNNNNNNNNNNNNNNNNNNNNNNNNNNNNNNNNNNNNNNNNNNNNNNNNNNNNNNNNNNNNNNNNNNNNNNNNNNNNNNNNNNNNNNNNNNNNNNNNNNNNNNNNNNNNNNNNNNNNNNNNNNNNNNNNNNNNNNNNNNNNNNNNNNNNNNNNNNNNNNNNNNNNNNNNNNNNNNNNNNNNNNNNNNNNNNNNNNNNNNNNNNNNNNNNNNNNNNNNNNNNNNNNNNNNNNNNNNNNNNNNNNNNNNNNNNNNNNNNNNNNNNNNNNNNNNNNNNNNNNNNNNNNNNNNNNNNNNNNNNNNNNNNNNNNNNNNNNNNNNNNNNNNNNNNNNNNNNNNNNNNNNNNNNNNNNNNNNNNNNNNNNNNNNNNNNNNNNNNNNNNNNNNNNNNNNNNNNNNNNNNNNNNNNNNNNNNNNNNNNNNNNNNNNNNNNNNNNNNNNNNNNNNNNNNNNNNNNNNNNNNNNNNNNNNNNNNNNNNAAGCAGUUUCAGAAACUACAAUGUUUCCAUUUUCUCAGCUGUUGAAGCUUCAAAACAGGUUCAUAACUUGGGUACGAUAUUACGUCUGCUUUUGUAAGGCUGCUGCAUUUCUGUCAGGUAAUUUUGCAUGUGGGGCCUUAGGUAAUCCUAUCUUUUAAAAAUGUAUUUAUUCAGAACAUAAACUUGUAUACAUAUAUAUAUAUAUAUAUAUAUGAGGGUCUUUAUUUUUUUUAAUGGAGACACACUAGUAAAUUAUAUAGUUUAAUAGAAUUAAUUUUCAAUGCACUACAAAAUCAUGUAAUUUAUUUAUUUGUACUAAUACUGUUAAACCAUACAAUUUAAUACAUGUACAUAUAUUUUUUUUAUAUUUUACUAACAUCAUUACUUUAACAACAUGAUGAUGUAUGUAUGUAUAUGUAUGUGUGUAUGUAUUAAGAGCUCAUGAACUUUGAGAUUCCUAAAUAGAUAAUCCCCUAGAAUAAUUUCAGUUAAGAGAGGUGUACUUAAGAUCUUUGAUUAGGUUGGGCUAAAUUAUAAAAACAUGACAAUAGUUCUCUCACGUUGUUCUUGCAGUCCUCAUGUGUAAGCUUUUUUUAGUGAGCACGAACAUUUUUUCUAAUGAUUAUUUUGAUUCCAGGUUUGUUGAUAAGCCGCAAACUCGUAGACUUGGCUAUAGUGGGCGUCUUGAUAACUUACUUCUCCGACUCCGAAUAUUCAAAAGUAUUCACACUUCAGAAAGCUGCAAUAUUUACGAGUGUUCAGGAUGUAAUAUUAGCAACUCUUACGAUUGUUGCCGCCUGGAUUUCGUGUUAUGCCAUUCGUCCUCUCAGAAUCCUCAUUUUUUCAACUGUCUCCUACAUCCUUGUAAGUUAAUAUGUUUUGAAUUUGCAAAACUUCUAAACAGUCCUUGUAAGUUAAUAUGUUUUGAAUUUGCUAAACUUCUAAACAGAGACGAAAUUAAAACAUAUGUCUAUCAUUGCAAGCAAUAUAUAUAUUCAGGGGCGGACCCAGGACUUUAUAGUACUUUGAGCUAAAUUAAAAAUUUAUUAUUUUGCAGUAAAUGUUAAAUUUCACAGCAUGUAAAAAAAAAAAAAAAUAUAUAUAUAUAUAUAUAUAUAUAUAUAGUCACACCGACCUCCAAGAUUUGUCCAAAAGGGCGUAUUCAUAAACGCGUCUGUGUGAUCAUUUUGCCAAACCAGGAGCUGUCGCUUUCUAUUUUCCUAAAAAAUUACCAAUAAAUUAAUUCUUUGAAUUGCAGAUGGAUAGACAAAGCGGCAAUUAUAGAGACAUCAAGUACUUCUAACGAACAAGAAGAGGCAGGCACACUUUGCACUGUGGCCCAGGUCAGGGAGUCAAAAUCUCUUCUUAAAUUGUUGCCAUUGUGGUCUAGCUUCAUUGUGUUUGGAUUGGUUCUGUCAGCAGGAAAUACAUUUUUUCCUGAGCAGGGAGCCAACAUGAUUUCUGAAAGAUACUUAAUCUUUCUACGAACUUUUAAAGGGAUAAUUCGUGCAACGAUCUCUUAUCUGUCAAAAAAUUUAAUUUCCAAUUUUGUUCCAAAAACUAAAAAGAGACAAGCUCAAGUGUUGAGAACAUUCAUUGGAAUGGUGAUGACUACAGUUUGCUGUGUAGUGGCAUGGCAGGUUGAGGUUCGUAGGUUGGAAAAGCUCAAACAAUUGGAAAAUAUGAGCAUGUUUUGGCUUGUUCCACAAUUCUGUCUAUUAGGUCUUAUGGAAGGGCUUGCUUGGUAUGGAUGUGAUGAAUACUCGAGCUCUCAUUUUCCUGAACGGAUGGAGUACCAUGUAUCAGCAAUAAGUUAUUUUUUCGUCGGAAUUGGAAGCAUUUUUAACAUCUUUUUCAUUUUGGCAAACAAAGGCGAGUUUGCUGAAACCUUGGAUUAUAGUAGGAUUGACAAGUACUAUAAGAGUUUAACAGUUAUUAGUGCUGUGAACGUGUGCUACAAUUUUCUCUUGUCGAUCCUCUACAUAGGGAGUGAUCAGAGCGUAGAUAAUGAGGGACUACAGACAAACAAUACUAUAGGGAGCGAUCAGAUCGUAGAUAAUGAGGGACUACAGACAAACGAUACUACAGAUGCCGAUGCCAUCUAAAUCAUCUUAUUUAGCUGCCUUGUUAUAAAAUUGGAGCUCGGAUAGAGGGAGGCUGCUGAACAUGAAUUCUAUUUUCAAGCGACAGUUUCACUUUAGAAAGCAUUGCAUGUACGCAUUAGAUUCCAUGUAGGUAGUUUAGUAUUGUUAAGGCUUUAUAAGGCUAGUGCUCUUGAAUAUAUCUCUUCUCGGUAACAAGGAAGUAUUAUUAUAAUUUUGAUGUUGCUUUGAUAUAUAAAUCCAGGAUCAAACAUCUCCGCAGUUAUGUCCUUGCUGAAUUUUCUAUUUUAAUUUUUAUGGAGAAAAGCAUUCUUUUUCUUGAUUGAUUAGGGAAGGAGUCAAAAUUAAAAAUCUAAGUUGCCAAAUUUAUUAAAGUUAAAAUACGCACUAUUAUUAACUUAUGAUAUACUUAAUUAGACUAAAAAAAAAUCUGCCCCAACGCCAACAGAAACAAUUGUAAAAUAGAUCUUUUUUAUGUGCAUAAUGGAAAAACAUCAAUUAACAUGAUAAAACAUGUAUAUUUUGCAGUUAUUUUUGUUAACAUUAGGUUAACCUUUAAUCCCUUUAUCAUUUAUUUAAAUUUUUAUUUCACCAUUAAAGCUUUCUUUUCAUUUAAGAUCUAGCUUUUAAGCCACACUAUAAGUCCAUAAUAAUAUUUACAAAUGGAGAAGGUGAAACGUUAACUAUCAAACAACAAUGUAGUGUAGCUAAUUGAAAUUUUAUCCACAUAAAUAUUAAAUAAUGCAGAAUUGACUAUUAUUGAUAAUUUAUUAUUGUGAUGUGCCACCCAGUAGUUGGUGGUCCCCGGAAUUGACUAUUAUUGAUAAUUUAUAAUUAAUUUAAUCAUGAUAAAUAACGCAGGAUCAAAUUUUACAAAUUUCCACAUCUUCAUGCUAUCGUUAUAUUUCAACAUGUUGCACGUGGCAAGCUAGGAAUCAUAUUCAUAUAAACGGCAUAUACCAAAAGCAAUCACCCGCAAGUCAGCAUUUGUACUUCAUAAUUCACCAGGUAAAAGACAAUUCACCAAGCAAUGGGAAGCAUUACUUGUGACAGAGUUAGCGAGUGGAAAGCUUUUGAUGACACGAAAGCUGGUGUUAAGGGACUCGUAGAUGCUGGGAUCACAACCAUUCCACAGAUCAUCAUUCAAGAUCAUCACACUAAACAUAAGUUUGAUGAUAAGCCAAUCUGCAGGGACCCCAAAAUCAGCAUCCCUAUCAUAGACCUUAAAAGAAUACACAGGGAUUCAAGUUUGCGUUCUCAGGUAAUUGACCAAAUUAGAAGUGCUCGUGAGAAGUGGGGUUUCUUUCAAGUGAUCAAUCAUGGAAUCCCAACAAGCAUUUGGAUCAUGCCAUUGAUGGGAUCCAUUGGUUUUUUCAACAAGAUGUUGAGGUUAAGCAGAAAUAUUAUUCUCGUGAUUACUCCAAAAAAAUUAAAUAUUGUUCAAAUUUAAAUUUGUAUAGUGCACCAACCCUCUUUUGGAAAGAUAAUUUGAGUUGUGUUGUGGGUCGCGAUUUUUCAAAUCCUGAAGAUUUGCCUGAAGCUUGCAGGUAUGUGGACGAUGACCAAUAGAUUUUAUUUCUUUUACAGUGGAUAACACCUGCCUCUUUCUUAGAACUUUUUGCAUCACUUGGGUUCCUAAUAAGUUUUUAUUACUCUCAUUUCAUCUAGAUGUUAACCCAAUAAAAAAACAAUUUCUAAAAGUCGAAAUGUCAUUCUCCCUUUCUUUUAGUAGUGAUUAUUUUUUGUCUUUAUUAAUUUGCAGAGAGAUAAUGAUCGCAUACAACAACCUAAUGUGGAAAAUAUGGGACACUCUGUUUGAACUUCUAUCCAAAGCUUUAGGGCUUGACCCCAAUUACCUGAAAGACAUAGGUUGUGUAGAGGAAAUGACUAUUGGGAAUAGUUACUACCCUGAAUGCCCUCAACCAGAAUUGUCCAUCGGCAUAGCAACACAUUCUGACCCUGGAUUUGUCACUGUGCUCAUACAAGAUCAAAUUGGUGGCCUCCAAGUCUUUCACGAAGAUCAAUGGUUUGACAUUGCCCCUGUUCCGGGAACUCUAGUUGUAAACUUAGGCUACAUGAUGCAGGCAAGUGUGUGUUAGAUAGCUUAUUAAGAAAUACUAUCCAUCAAAUUGAAAAUUCUCAAGUGGGACGUUCGCACUAAAUCUUGUGCGGACACAAUUCUUUCACAAUACUGUGAAAGAAUCGUCCUUACAAAAUUAUGUGAACGUCUACACCCGAGCAUGAAUCUCUAUCAGAUAACUUAAUUAUGGUUUAUAUGAAGUGUGUGUUUAUCCAGCUGAUUACCAACGUGUUCGUGUUUAUGCAGCUGAUUACCAACGAUAAGUUCAAGAGUGCCUAUCAUAGAGUGUUAUCAAAUAAGGAAGACUCCAGAAUUUCAAUCGGAAGUUUUUUCAUGAAUAAUAGUUGCUCGAGACGAUAUGGUCCAAUUAAAGAGUUGCUAUCAGAAGAAAAUCCUCCGCUCUAUCCUGCAAUUACUCUAAAAGACAUUUACAAUAACCAAACCUCGAAGAAUAAUGAACUCUCAGCAUUGGAUAAGCUUAAUCUGGCAAGUCGCAGUCGUUAAUUAAUUACUUGGCAGUACUUUUCCAAUUUGGUGGCUUUCAGAAAAAAUUAGUAAUGAUGGUCAUUGUUUGUUGCUUGGAAUUAUGACGUUCGUACUUAUAUUGAGCCUCGAGUGUGCAAGUGUUGCUUGUCAUGCUUUUUCCACUUUGUGUACUAUUAAGAAUAAAUCCAAGUGCAUUCGUAUUGAUUGUUAGGGUGAUGUUAAAUAUUAUACAUAGAUACAUGUUUUGACCGGAUUUUCUCUAGGAUCUGAUUUGAAUCAUUUAGUGGUUGUCCUCACCUGAACAAGGUUAAAUAUAAUUUAAAUAAAUAAAUUUAUAUUUGAGGGGAGAUUGAGCUAGUAAAAAUCUAGGUGUGUUUUUCUGCUGUUAAGGACAAAAGAAAUAACUAAGGUGCACUACUACAAAAAUGACUUUUACUGACACUUAGCUACUGACACUUUGUAAAAAGUGUCAGUAAUUGUGUACAUAUGCACCAUUUUCCGCUUUUAAGAAAUAGGUAUCAUAAAUUAUUGAUACUGAUGUGUCAGUAAAUUAAACAUCAGUGAUCACUGACAUUGAAGCAUUAAAGAUUAAAAAAAAAUCAUUAAAAUUUGCUUUAACUCCAACUCGAACCUAGGACUUUUAAAAUUCAAAGCUUUAACAUAUGGACAAUACACCAUUGGACCUUGUAGAAUUAAGAUAUAAUAGCAGCAAUAAAUUAAAAAACAAAAUUAAAAUAACAAAAGCAAAAUAUAACCCAGACUUGGAAACUUUAUUUCGUUUCUGGACGCAAAUAUUUGAACCAAACCCUAUCACUAUCUUGCUUUCUCCUUCUCUUUUUUCUUUUUCUCUUCUCGAUCUCUUUUGUUUCCAGUUGUCCAUUUGCAAACUCAAUUCAAUUAAUUCAGACAGAUAAUGAAAAGCUAAACCCUAAUUGAGGCUUCUCUUUUCUUUUUUCCCCAUAUCGAAAAACAAAGUGAAACCCUAAUUGAGGCUUCUCUUUCCUUUUUCCUUUUUUUCCCCAAAUCGAAAACAAAGCAAAACCAUUUUUUCCCCAAAUCGAAGAACAAAGCGAAACCCUAAUUGAGGCUUCUCUUUCCUUUUUCCUUUUUUCCCCAAAUCGAAAACAAAGUGAAACCCUAAUUGAGGCUUCUCUUUCCUUUUUCCUUUUUUCCCCAAAUCGAAAACAAAGUGAAACCCUAAUUGAGGCUUCUCUUUCCUUUUUCCUUUUUUCCCCAAAUCGAAAACAAAGUGAAACCCUAAUUGAGGCUUCUCUUUCCUUUUUCUUUUUUUCCCCAAAUCGAAAAACAAAGCGAAACCCUAAUUGAGGCUUCCUUCGUAGGAGUUUUUUUUUCCUGUUCAAAUUUCACUUUUUUUGUUCGCUACUCGAAACCCAUUUGCUUGAAUUUGAGAUAAUUGUUGAGAAGUUAGUUAAUUUGUUUGCUAUAGAAGGUUCGCCUAUGCCUAGAAUUGUAGAGGAGGAUUUCAACGACUUUAAAGGCAGAGAGGUUUAUUUUAACAAUUGGUAAUGGCUUAAUAUUUUUUUGUCAAUUUAAUUACUGGGUUUGUUUUAUUUUAGCUUAUGAUUAUUUUUUGUAAUUUUAAUUUUCUGGGUUGUUGACGAUGUUGAGAAAUUCAUGUUUAUUUGGAAGGUCGCACUUUUCUUUACGUAUUGAUUUAAAUUAUUGUUUAAGUCUUGUGGCUUUAAGCGAAAUGGGGUUUAUUUUAUAAACGAGGAUCCUAUGUGGGCUUAUGGAAAUUGGAUGUGUUUUAGCUUAGCUGCCUGAUUAAUAAGUUCUUGUUUUUGUUCUCUGUUGAGCCUUUUUAUUUUGGAGUUUGCAGCAAUUUGUCAUUCCAUAGUACGAUGGAAGUUUAAAGGGGAGUUUAUUGGUGGAUUGUGUUAGGAGUUGGCCCUUUUUUUGUUUGAACUUUAUGUGAUAUGUUUUAAGAUUGAGAACAAAAGCUUUGAUCGGUACUUGUGUAAUAGUCCAUAAUUUGAGUAGUAGACAAUAGGACACCAUUCCAUGAUAAUGAGCAUGGGAUGCUCUGUAUAUGUAAAGCAAGGCAAUAGUUUCUCCAGCAGCUGACUGGUCUCCACUGUGAACAUGUUAUUUCACAUUUAUAUUUUAUAUAUGAAAGUUGUAUGAAGUACUUCAAACAUCUCUCUCGCUCUCUCUCUUUUUUGGGUCCUUAUUGCAAGCCUUUUAGUAUUUUGCAACUCUGACGUGUUGUAGGCCGCUCAUUUACAUAAUAUGAGUCUUAUAAUUCCUUUUUAAUUUCCUCUGAGAACUAUCUUCUUUGUGGUCUAAUUUUGACUUUUUUCCCCUCUCCUUCCGAAUCUAAAGUGACCUCUUCAAUAACUAUGAGAUGGUAGUUGUAACAAGUAUAAUCACAAGAAACUGUAAAAAAAUAUGCCCCUGCUGUACGGAUUGAAAUCUGAAAAAGUAAUAUUUAUUAAAGUUGUUGCUUAAGGCAUCUAGUUAAAAGCCUUAUCAACGGUCAACGUGUUCCUUGAAAAUUAUUGGUUUUUGAGCACUUUGUUGAGAAAAUCGGAUCUCUUAAGAAAUAAUAUUUUGUUUGACAAUUAAUAUUUAUAACACAACACUACUCUCUCAUCUCUCUACACAUUAUCCAUGAUAAAAGAGAUUUGUUCCCUCGUCAACAGUACUAGUAAAAAAACUAACUCUGUAAUGCAGGGUCUUUUAUGUAUGCGCGUGCGCACACUCACACACACAUAGAGAUAUAUAACACAUCAAUUUGUGAAUAAAAUUAAAUGAAAUUCUUAAUUAAUCACGUUGCUUUCUGCUUUCACUAUUCUUUUAAUUAAAACUUUAGCUUGGUGUUUUUUCCCCCUUUUGUGUGGAUAAAAUUUAAUUCAUAAGUAGGUUGUAAAAUUGAGCUCUCCCUCUAAAUAUGCUUUAUACAUGAGAAAAAAAAAACUUAUACGAUAUUAAACAAAAUGAAGACAUUUUUAAUUUAAGUCUUAAUUUUUAUUAGUUACUUAACUUAUGAAUUAGCUUGGCUAAUUAAAAAGUCAUUAUGGCUCAUCUAACUUGUUCCUCUCUUGUUUUAAUUUCAAAGCUUCUUUUGUUUCAAUUUUGGGAUUUUGUCUGAAUUAUUAUUAUAAGUGCUUAAUUAUAAACCUUCUAAAUAUCUACUUUUACUCGUCCAUCUUCUACUGCUUGUUACUCGCUUACGUUUUAACAAAGGUUAAUAAUAGUGAUUGGAAAAAUGGUAGCUAGAUUUUUAUUUUUUAUUUUUUUAAUUUUGGUUUCUCUAGAUUAAUUAAGUGAUGAACAUUUAAUUGGGCAGAACCAGCUUCCGGAUGAUCAUGUAAUAUGUGGAAUGCACUACUAGAUUUAUGUGAUUUUCUUUAUACAUAGUUUUGAAAUUUACAUUUCUUUGUUUAAGACUGCCACAGUUUCUUAUAAAUGUCUCUCUAAUUUAUAGGUGGAGCAUCAGUUGCUGGUCAAUUAGAGGACAUUCCAACAAUUUAAGAUUGAUCAGGAUUACUUGUAAGUUGAAUGCUUUCAAAUUAAUACAUAUGUUCAUUGUUAAUUUACAAGGUUUUCAUUAGAUAAGCAUGCCAUGUAAUUUUCGAAAAGAAAAAUUCUUUCAAAUUAGUCUUAGUGUGCUGGAAAAAUUAUUGCACUUUAUAUAUUGUUUCCAAAUAUCCAAGACUUAUUUUUUGAGGUGUACUAAUUGAUUUUAUGUACUUGUAGGUGGGAAAAAAAAAUGAAGCCAUAUGUGGAUAUUCAAUGACAUUCUUCUGCUUAAUUUUGUAGGUUAAUGUUUGAUGAAACUUAAUUUUGUAUUAUACAAAAAUAUUUCAAAUUAAUAUUAGUGUACUGGAAAAAUGGUUGCACUUUAUAUAUUGUUUCCAAAUAUCCAAGACUUAUUUUUUGAGGUGUACUAAUUGAUUUUAUGUACUUGUAGGUGGGAAAAAAAAAUGAAGCCAUAUGUGGAUAUUCAAUGACAUUCUUCUGCUUAAUUUUGUAGGUUAAUGUUUGAUGAAACUUAAUUUUGUAUUAUGUUGUUUAGAACUGGUCGAAACUCAAUUUGGUACUUAUAUUUUUCUUUUCCAGACAAUGAUGUAGUUGAAUUAUAUUAAUGUAAGUGAUGUAUUUGGGAUGGUUAUUAUAUGAAUUUUGUUGUGAGAUUUGGUAUAUUUAAUAUAUUUUGAUUGUAAAACAAGCAGGAAAAUUAAAAUAAAAAUAAAAAUAUACUAUUAACCAAAAGCAGCAUAAUAUCAUUAAAUAUUAACACUAAAUAUUUAAAAUGACAAUAAUAACUUUUGAUGUUAUUGAAUCAGUGUGCUCUUGAUACUAUAGUCACAUAAAUCACUGACGUAUAAAUAAUAUCAUCAAAUACUAACACCAUCAUGUCAUUAUUUAGGUGAUACUAUAACGACGCUAAUUACUAACACAAUAAUCACUGACACUAAAAAUUAGUGUCAGUGUGUUCUGGCUUGAGCAUCAUUGACACAAUUAAUAAGUGUCAGGAAAAGUAAUUACUGACACUAAAUUAGUAUCAGUAAAGCUUAUUUUUCUAGUAGUGGUGAUCUGGAAGGUGAACUGAGGUAAUUUGAGAGGUAAAUUGAAGUGUUUUGGGAGGUAAGCUCUAUGGAGCUCAUGGGAUUUAGUUUAAAGAGUUGAUUUGGGGAGCUCAAGAGAGUUUAGGAAGUAGCUCUAGCGAAUUCGAGGAUAGCUUUAACUAUAGAGCUUAUUUGGGGAGCUCAGUAGAGCUCGUGCUAUGCCUCUAUAUGAGCUCAUGUAUGGAAUACGAUUUGAGUAUUAUCAUCAUCCUAAUAAAUAGAAAAUAAGCAUAAACAAUAGAGAACACAUAAGAUUUUACAUUGUUCGGCCCUUUGAUCUACAUCCAUAAGAGUAACUCAUCUCCAAUCCACUAUAUAAAUGAAGUAUUACAUAAUUUGCAUUAUAAUAUCGACAAAACUUUAUUAAAGGUUGUUUAUGAGGAAUAAUGACAUGAGGGAGAUAUGAGUUUUAUAGAGAUUUGAGAGUUUUCCAGGAGAAGAGUAAGGGAAAAGGCUUCUUUGGGAGAUAGAUGGUUAAAAUUUACCAUGGUGGUGUUAAAAUGGAGAAAGAAACCCCAACCAUAAAGGAAGAAGAAGAUGAAGAAGUCUCUCAAGAAAUUAGAUCUAAAAAAAAUCACUAAAGUCCUAUUGGCUCGUUAUUCUUAGCGAAAAAAAAAUUAUUCUUUUCAUAAUGGUGUACUGUUCACAUGUUGGCUCUAACCAUUCACAUUUAAGUUUCGAUAAUACCCUUUAAUGCUGGGCAUGUUUACCAGAACUAUCUUUUUCCACAAAGAGUUUUUCUUCUGAUUUUUUAGAGUUAUAUUACUUCAAAUAAGUUGACUUUUCUUCAAGUCAUUAGUAUAUAUCAGCAUUUAAACUUCCUCCCAAACAAUACAUAACCGUUAGUAGUCCAUUAAUAAUUAACGAAAUACAUGCAAUAAUUCAUAAAUAUAAAGUCAAGUCCCCCUUAUUACUCAAAUCCAUACGAAAGUACCCAGCAAAGCGGCGGCCUCCCAAUUGAGCACACAAGAUAAUCAAAAACUAAGCAAAGAGCGGCCUCUUGACAACAAUACAAUUGCACGAAUUUUGUGCUAAUGCAAUGAGGAAGAGGCCACCAACUUUUCACGGCGACGUUUGAAAAAAACCAAUAGUUCACCCCAAUUAGGAAGGUUCUCUUCAAUUUCUGGGACUCGUUUAAAUUUUUCAAACCAUGCGUGCAAGCGAGUGAAUUUGUGAGAUUCAAAUAGUUUCACUCCUGCUACAUCUUCAAUGAUUUGCAACCAAUAAACAAAGGAAGCAAAUGCUAUGUCCACUAAGCCAAUCUUGUCUCCAUGAAAAAAUUUCUUCUCUCCUAAGCCAUGUUCUUCAACGGUUUUUAGCAUUUCCAAGAUUUCUUUCAUUGUAUUCUCUUGAUCUUGUACGCUACGAAACAUUUUCCAAACAGUAGCUCCCUGCCAAAAUAUCACCACAUGAUUAAUAAUAUGUAUGAACUAAAAGACUUGGACAAUACAUAUCCUUGUCAUUUGUCAAGCACCCUUAUACUAGAGGUUAACAACUACAUUGAAUGACAAAGGGUAAAUGAACAACAAAACCACAAUGUUGUUUUGGUAAAUUAAUCCUUUUCUCCCUCAUAUUUCAAAAGCCAUCAAAAUUUCCCUUGCCGUUAAAAAAAUUCUAUUAAACUUUCAACUUCCUAUUAAUAAAAAUUUUUCCAGAGGUAAAUUAGUAAAAGACAAAAAAAGUUGAAAGUUAACAGAAUUUUUUGAAUGACAAUGGAGAUUUUGAUAGGUUUUAAAACAUAAAAGAACAAAUAAUUAAUUUUGACAUACAAUGGGGGAUACUGAUCUUUUUCUCUAAUAACAAAUAAACAUGAAAAUAAUGAACUUAUAAACGCAUUAGCUAGAGUUCUGAAGCAAACUCUAUCUUAGGCAAAUAUAAUCCAAAAAUGAGCCAGAGCUCUAUCAUAAGGAUCAUUUGGCAUUAAGGGAUUCUGUGGCCACAUCUCCUCAAUGUAUUCAAGGAUAACAAUGGACUCGCAAACUGAUUUUGAGUCAUGAACAAGCACUGGGACCUUCUUGUGAACUGGAUUAUACUUCAAAAGCAAAGCACUUUUGUUAGAGAGAUCUUCUUCAAUGUAAUCAUAUGCUAUGCCUUUCAAUUUCAGAGCCCAUAUCACUCUGUAACAAAAUGCACUCGCCCAUGCCCCAUGAAGCUUCACUUCAGCCAUAUUUCUGAAUAUCGAAGUUAAAUACCAGUGUGGUUAUUUGAAUAGCUAACUAUGCAUAUGUAUCUGAAUUUAUGGAGAUCGACAGAGCAUGUGCUUGCAAUGACUUUAAGAACUGCAAUAAGAGCUAAAAAUUGUCACUAUAACAGCUUAAAAGAGAAACAAUGAUCCAUACAAGACAAUCGCAACAUGUAGGUUACUGAGAUCAUAAAUAGAAUAAUACAAAAAAUUUGAUUUUUUCAAUAAUCAAAAAAUCAGUUUUCUUGACUUAUAAUAUGUGGCUGUCAUUAAUAGGAUUAACGUCCCCAAGUUAUUGAAAGAAUUUAGAGGUAACAGACCUGCCCCGCUGAUAGGGAGGAUAUGAAAUAGAUAAUUAUAGUUGUGCUUGCCCUCACUUAGAAACUUGAUGCCCUUUAGUUAGGCAUGCUCUCGAAACUAGAUUAACUCAAUCUAUUAAACACCUAUGCAGAUUGGCAAAACUUAUAAUAGUGCAGAAUAUGAGGACAUGACAACUUGUCAAAUUGCAUGGCAAAAAAUGUGUUGAUCCAAACUCAGAUAUUAAGAAAUAGUACAUUCCACGAUCAGGUUUGAGAAUAUAUUUUUUAAUUAAAGUUAUUAAGGAUUUUCAUAUAACAAAUACAAUCUUCUCACAUGUGAUAUACUAUCCAUAUGCACUUGAAGCAAAUCACUACUGAUUUUACUUUUAUUUAGAUUACCUGCUACUUGAAAACAGUAAAAUGAAAGUGAAAAUUGAAGGAAAUCAAGAAAUGAGCUUACCUUCCAAUUAGGCUGCGAAAUUGAUACAUGUCAUUAUAGUUGAGGUCCUUUAUGAGCCAAGUGAACCAAUCACCCCUUGCCCAAACAUCAUUCCCUCUCAUACUCACUCUCUAGCAUUUUUUUCUUCUAAUUAGUAGUCUGAAAGAACUUAUCAAAUAAAAGUUGAGACACAGAACUUCGACAAAACAAUAAAUAAAUAAAUCAAAGAAAUAAAAGUUAAAAAAGCCUUCACUUUGGACAAAUUAACAACAAUAAGACUCACACUAAGCAAAAAAUGUUAUGAUAUCUCUGUAGAUGAAUGAAGCCAUUCAAAGUACAUGUGCCUCAGCAAACAAUUACUUGAAAACAUACAAGUGCAUAAAGUUCAAUGUCUAAUCUCCUCUAUUUAACCACCCAAAGCAAAACAUUCUAUAACAGAAUAAAUACGAGAGCAAACCAUUAUAUAUACUCACUUAGGAAUUUCGUCGAACACUUAGCCUGAACAGUUCAUAACGAACGUAGCACAGAAUAAAAAUGUAGUCAAACGAUUAGGGAACGUAAAAACAAACCUCGAGUUUUGGGUCUUCAGAAGGUUCAACAAAAACACAGUGAACUUGAGCUUGUCUCGUUGGCUCGCUGCCACUCUAACGCUUGGCUUUUGUCGUCUUUCUCAUUUUGUAAAUUGCUAAACGACAUAGGUUUAGGUUUGACUACUAUUACACACAUAUAUUUUAUAAUUUUAUUAGCGACGUUGUUUCCCUAGGGGUCAUAAUGUAGAAUUUAAUUUCUUGAAAGUCAGCCAUGACGUAGAAUAAGUGAACUUGAGGGGUAUCCAAGAAUCUGUUGUAUAAAAUUAUUAACAAUUUAGGAAAACUUUUAGAAACCACCCCUGAGGUUUGGCUUUGCUACACUUAGAGAGAAUGUAUCCAUAUAUUGACAACAUACCCCCGGCCAUGUAUGAAGGUUAGGCACCCGUUAGGUUGUUGAGUGAAUGUAUAAUAAUGCCCUUCAAAAUUAUUUGACACUGUAGAUGAUCUUUAUAUUUGGGGCGAUUUUUUUUUUGGCGCCUGCUGUACGGCCAAGGCGGAUGUACGGUGUGGCUAUUUCAAGUUUUGGAUGCCAUCUUCAAAUGAUAUCGACCAAGGUGUUAUAUUUGAUGGUUUAGGAACAUGUCAAGCAAAUUAUGAACUGCUGAUGAGUAUGCAAAAGGAUAGGAAGGAUUUGAAGUCACUGAUGCAAAAAGCACAACAAAAUGGAGUAAAAUGAAAUGAUAUAAAGACAAUGUUGUUCCUAAACAUGUUUUUUUUCUCAUUUGUGCUGUUGUGGCUUCAACAAUGGGUGUAGUUAUGGCUGCUAAGUAGGCAUUAUACAAUAAAUGCAUGUAGCAGUACCUAAAGUAGCUAAAUGAACAUGUACUACAAUAAUUAUGAACCUAAUGACAACAUUUAUUCUAUGAAUAAACUCAUCUUGAUAUCUCGAAAUCAUCAGAUCAUUAAACAACAUAUAAUGAUAACAGAAUCACAAUAGAGGUUUACAAGGAUAGCAGUUGGUACAUUCAAACCAAAAAAAAAAAAAAAAAAAAAAAAAAAAACACAAUAGAGGUUUACAAGGAUAGCAAUUGGAAAAAUCAAGCCACUAAUCGAAAGCCACCUGGGCCAAAAAAUUGAGCCCAAAAAGGCCGACGUGGACAAAAUUGAAGAUGUAACACCAGCCGUCGGAUCUAGGGCAUCUUACAUUCAAAUGGCCUUUUUGCAAAUGACAUCUCUUUGGCAUUCAUUAUAUGAAAGCAUCAGAAAGUACUACUUUGAUAAACAAAUGAAGUCUUGUGUUUAUGUAAUUAAAUCUGUUAAUAUGUGUAUUAAAAUGGAUGACCUAAAAGACACUUUCUCAACUGUACUAGUUCUUCAAUAAACCAACUGCCUACAAGCUCUAUAACUAAUAUAUCUCUUACACCUAAAUAACAACCUCAAAAAGUAAUAGGCAAGCAUCUGAAUUUUAUGUUGGGAACGGAAGUACAAAUUUUUACGCGAAGAAAAGGAAAAAUAAUAGCAUCCAUUUUCCACCAAAAAUCAGUGAUUGGAAUUAGUCCAUACAAACAUCAAAAAGCAACAAGAGCAACUGUCUCAAUCUUACAUGAACUGCACACUUGUAAAAUAAAAAAAGAAACAAAACAACACCAUAAGCGUUUUCUCAGCAACACCUCUGCAUUCUUAGAAAAAGAUUGGAUUUUUCUCAAUUUUAAUAACAGAUCAAGCAAAUUUCAGUAGGCAUUCAAAAACCAGAGUCCAAAAUCAUCAAAAAAUAAAUCAUUUUCAUAGUUUACACAACAUGUCGAGUGACUAUCAACUCAAAAAUCAAUUCCGAUAUAUUCGGUCACUACUUCAAUUUCUAUAAACCCUAAACAUUUUUCUCAAUUAAUUGGAACAAAGAAUAAAGCACCUAACUAACAGCAAUUUCAACAAAAUGCAAGAAAAUAAUAAACCCUAACUUCAGUUUUAAGCUUUGAUAGAAUUACGCACCUAGUGUGCCCUUUAAUCGGGCUUUUCAGCUGCUGGUAGUCGCCAGAAUUUGGUUCAAAACAUAGUUGAUUUCAGAAACUUGUUAGCUUACUGCAUCACAAAGUAUCUCUGGUUUUGCUAAAAUCAGUUGGUGUCACGACCUUCGAAAUGAAGCUAAGCACUCAUCAAGUUAUGCUGAGAAAAAAAAAAAAAAUGAAGCUAGGCAUUGACAAUGAAAAUGGGUUACUAUCCCCUCGGGUUUCACUAGUUGAUUAGUUACAGUAUAACAGCUUUUGUAAGAUUUGAAAAAAAAAAUAAUGCAACACGUACAUUAUUGCCCUCAGCGACCUAAUGAGUGUCUAACCCUUGUACACGGCCAAGGGGUGUAUUGUCAAUAGAGUAAUAAUAUAACCAUAAAUUUUUGUAUAAAUUUAUUUUGUAUAAAUUGAUGUGGCAUGAUAAAAUUGGUUGAAUUAAAUAUCUCUUGGCCCACAUGAUAUAUUUUUAUUAUUUUGUAUUUUUAUUCAACCAAUGAAUUAAUGACAAAUCAAUUUGUACAAGAUAAGUUUGUAUAAGAAUUUGUGGCUGUAUCAUCACUCUUGUCAAUAUAUAGAUACAUUCUCUCUAAAAAUUAUCUAAAAGUGUAGUAAAGCCAAACUUUAGGGGAAGUAUCUAAAAAUUAUCCUAACUAUUAAUUGAAGGGUGUGAAUAAUUCCACCCCACUAUUUUUAUAAACUCACUCCACCUCCAUAAAAUAAUUACAAUAAAUUUACAUUAUUUUAUAAAUUUAAAUUAUUUUAUAAAAUUACAAAUUAAUAAAAACUUUGAAUUACUAAUUAAUUAAAUCAAUUUUAUAAUUUUUUUAAUUUUUUGGACUUAGGCUUUUAACAAUCUUUAACUUUUGAAGGUUGCCUCAAGAUAAAUUUAAUUUGACUAUUUUACCCUUAUAAUAUAAAAUAACGAAAUUACUCUAAGAAAUAUAUAUAUAUAUAUAUAUAUUAUCGUAACUAAUUGCUUAGGCUUUUAUAUAAAAUUUAAUUAGUUUCAUUACACCACAUGUCCUAAUUAUAUUUUGUUAGUUUAGUGGAGUAAUAAUAAUUGUACUAACAAUUACUUAUAUAUCAUUAAAAUAUAAAAAAAAAUUUGCAUAAAAUUUUAUUAAAGUUAAAGUGAAUUUUUAUAUAUUUUGGUGCUUUUACCUUAUAAGGGCAAAAUAGUCAUAUUAAGUUAUGUUAAAGCAACCUUAUUGAUGAAAUAUAAUAAAGAAACAUAGUUAAAAAAAAGAAAUGAAUAUGGAUUUAAUUGAUUAAUUUUUAAAUUUCUUCUUAAUCUAAAUUUUUAAAAAAUAAUGUGAACUUAUUAUAAUAAUUUUUUAAAAAUGGGUGGGUUUAUAAAAUUUAUGGGGUGGAAAUAUCAUCACUGAAAAUCUUAUAGUUGCUGUUUUAAUAUAUUUCACAUUGAGAGCAAGGUUUGUUUAUAUAGAUGGAUAAUCAAUUAAUUAUUUGUGUUUUUUGACCAUUUAAGUGAUAUUAUUUUUUGAGAAAGUCUUGCGUGCUCUUCGAGCAUCAUAUAAUUAUAUUAUUAUGCUGGCAUGAUCGAUGCUCCACUUGAUGAAAAUUUUUGGGUUUUGUUCUUGAACAGCUCUUUCUGCUUUUGUUUCUAUGGUAUUAAGCAACUCCAAACAUUUUGCUAUGCUCUCUGUUCAUUAGUUAAAUUUAUAAGGUUUCACACCUUGACGAAGUAAAAAUUUAAAAAAAAUUUUAUUUGUAUCUUUUAAAUGGUAGAGCAUCGUCUAUAGCAUUAUUGAACAAAAAGGAAAAAGAAUACAAAAGCUGAAAAGAAAUUUCAACAUGGGCAAUUGGAUUUAAGCACACAGAAGAAUGACAGGACAUGAAUACAUUACUAAAAAUAAAAAUUAGAAAACCUCUACAGAAUUAUAUAUAUUAUCUGCAGCAUUCCCAAUUUGAACUUUAGAAAACCUCUACAGAAUUAUAUUAGAAAACCUCUACAGAAUUAUAUAUAUUAUCUGCAGCAUUCCCAAUUUGAACUGGAACCUCAAACUUCUUCAAUUUAUCUGAAUCCCUCCAAAAUGGAAGAUAUCAGAAUCAAGCUGUACAUGAUCUCAGAUGAAACCAAAUUCUAAAUGCCAUUGAAUCAGAAGCAAAGUCCAAAUGCUGUGGACAAUGCUAUGCCUCCGAAAACCAUGCAACAGAAAUAGUCUAUAACAGAUCCUUUCACUUAUAUACAUAAAACUAACUCUUUCUUUUUCUUUUCCUUUUUUUUCUUCACUUAAAAGAAUAUACAUUAAUUAAAUAUUGUUGCUCAAGAUUAAGCAUGAUUCAUUUUUAGAAUUUCCAAGCUGUAAUAUACAUUAAUUAAAAGAAUAAAAAAACACUUGGUAUAUCUGAUAUAAAUGUAAAUCAACCUCACUCGAAAGCUAAUGUGACAGAAAUACUUUACUUGUGUGCUUUAUUUGAGUGUUUAUAAGUUUUCUUCGGAAAAUAACUUAAACAGGGGUUAGUUGUUUGACUUUGCUUAUUGAAAAUUUUCCUGGUUUAUUUUUCAAGUUUUUUGGCAGCAAAGUGGCAGCAGAUUAACAGACAACAACAAUUCAUGCACAUGCACUUGCUUCAGGUAAAAAGACAACAAUGUCUGUAUCUUAUCCUCCUGAAGAAGUACUGAAAGAAAGAUAUGCGUCGCAUUAUUUGUGAAUUAUGGUCCAAAAUCAGUAUACAAAUCUUUAUUUAUUCCAAUGCCUCAAUGAAAGAGGCGUUGUUUGCAUUAAAAAUGAACAAAAAUUUAAAAAAAAAAUUAAUGGCAUCCACCUAGAUUACUAAAUAUAUGGGGUUGUCAAAUUGUGUAUUACCUAUAGGCCACAGGCCACCUUACACUUUGGUGUAGGGUUUAGAAUCACAAUUCAACUUUGCUGGAGUGACAUGGAAAAGAUUUAAGAAUUUUCUUUUUUCUUUUAAUAUUUUCCUUAUCUUUCAGAUGCUGAAAGUUUCAAUACAAAGAAAAUUAUCUCUACAAUCACUGGAAAAGGUUUCAAUAAUAACAUUCAAACAUUUUCUCUUGCUUAAUUUUAUCUCUAUUCAUUUUUGCGGCAUCAUCUAUCUUAUAAUUCAUUCAUACUGGAAAUGCUAAGUCACCUGAUGCUCCAAUCCUAAGAAGCUGUUAUUUUUUUAUUUUUUCUCUAGAAACAGAGUUUUAUGAAAUGCCAUGCUCCGUAGAUCAGAUUGGGGAACCUUCUUGGCCAUCAAUUGACAUAUGAUCAGCUCAUUUUCUCAAGCAAUGAUUAUCUCUUUCAACUGGAAAAUGUAUAUAUCUGCUCAUUGACUGACUCUGCUCACUCACAUACAAUUCUAUUAUCAUCUAAAGAUCUUCCCUUUGAGAAUCUUUUCCUUGCUUUACUUGCCUGCAACAUGAGAAACCCCUUAGAAACACAGAGCUUGUAACAAUUAACAAACUAGAAAAUGGUUAUAAUUCUUGCAAAAAAGCAAAUUUUCAAAUGAGUUUGCAUGUCUGUUAUUGAAUAUCAUUUUCUCAAUGGCAAAAUUUUCAAAUGAGUUUGCAUUUGUGUUAUUGAAUAUCAUUUUCUCAAUGAGAUGCCAAGCAGAAGUGUUUGUGUAAAAGCACCAGCUUGUAUCCCAAUCCAUAGGCCCCUUCCUCUAAACUUUAACCAGAAACCCAAAAUGGCAGCAGUUGGGACUCCACACAAAUAAUAAGCCCCAAGAUUCACAAAAGCAGCUAUAUUCUGCCACCCACAUCCUCUUGCAACACCUUAAAAAUAAUAAAAAGAAUUUAGACACCUGAAAAUUUUUAUUUCUACUUAAAGAGAACUAUUUAGCAAUUGACAGAGUUGAAGAAGUUAAUUUAACCUGAAAAGACUCCUUGUAAGCUAUCCAUGAUGACAGAGAAACAAACCAGAGGAGCCAUGGUUGUACUUGUGACAUAAUCCACAACUUGUCCCUCAUUGCUGAAAACAUAACCAAAAACACGCCGGCUGGCAAAGAGAGAUGCACUUACUAUGAUAGUCUCCAUGACUGCCAUAAAAACCACAGCAUAGACAGCUACACGGGCUCUUUGCACAUUCCCAGCUCCUAGUUCAUUUGAAACUCUAGUACUAUAGAAGGAAAUAAUGGUUAAUCUGCUAAUUAGUUGAUAUAAAACAAUUAUUAUUUAAAUGAUUGUUAUGAACAAACCUCACUGCAGCACCAAGUCCAUAUGGGAUUGCAGAGAGGGUUUGAAUAGUACUGAGACUGCCCAAAGAAGUUGACAAAUAAUGAGCAGUCGGGAAAAAAAAGAAAAAAAGAAAAAAAAUCUAUUUCCUUUGGUAGGUGCUUCUCUGUAUAGAACUUUCACAUACAAAGUCUAUGUCAACAUACCAUGCAGAUAGGACUGAAGUUUCAAGCUGUGGGUUAGGCAACAGCCCUGACAUUAAAAUGAGCAAUUCAAAUGACCACCAUUCUAGGCUGCAAAAUUAUAAACAAAAGAAGAAGCAUGAAAAUUUAUGACGUGUCUACGAUAUCUAUGAGAAGGGAAAAUAAAACUCCAGAGGAUAAUUAACAUACCAAACCAUUACUGCAGAAGGGAUAGCAAAGUGGAAGAACUCUCCAAUUCCUCGGAAUAACUCCAUUGAAAUUGGAGCCCUGGAUUCUGCACAAGCAGUGGAGAACUUCAUGUAAAUUGCCAAGAAAGUUAGAUUCAACCAAUACGAUAUACCAAUUGCCAAUGCUCCUCCAAGGNNNNNNNNNNNNNNNNNNNNNNNNNNNNNNNNNNNNNNNNNNNNNNNNNNNNNNNNNNNNNNNNNNNNNNNNNNNNNNNNNNNNNNNNNNNNNNNNNNNNNNNNNNNNNNNNNNNNNNNNNNNNNNNNNNNNNNNNNNNNNNNNNNNNNNNNNNNNNNNNNNNNNNNNNNNNNNNNNNNNNNNNNNNNNNNNNNNNNNNNNNNNNNNNNNNNNNNNNNNNNNNNNNUCUAAUUUUUAAGGGAUUAAAUGUUGAGAAACAGACCUGUUUUUCCCAAUCUGUAAAUGUUGUUAUGAUGCCAAGCAGACGUGUUUGUGUAAAAGCACCAGCUUGUAUCCCAAUCCAUAGGCCCCUUCCUCUAAACUUUAACCAGAAACCCAAAAUGGCAGCAGUUGGGACUCCACACAAAUAAUAAGCCCCAAGAUUCACAAAAGCAGCUAUAUUCUGCCACCCACAUCCUCUUGCAACACCUUAAAAAUAAUAAAAAGAAUUUAGACACCUGAAAAUUUUUAUUUCUACUUAAAGAGAACUAUUUAGCAAUUGACAGAGUUGAAGAAGUUAAUUUAACCUGAAAAGACUCCUUGUAAGCUAUCCAUGAUGACAGAGAAACAAACCAGAGGAGCCAUGGUUGUACUUGUGACAUAAUCCACAACUUGUCCCUCAUUGCUGAAAACAUAACCAAAAACACGCCGGCUGGCAAAGAGAGAUGCACUUACUAUGAUAGUCUCCAUGACUGCCAUAAAGACCACAGCAUAGACAGCUACACGGGCUCUUUGCACAUUCCCAGCUCCUAGUUCAUUUGAAACUCUAGUACUAUAGAAGGAAAUAAUGGUUAAUCUGCUAAUUAGUUGAUAUAAAACAAUUAUUAUUUAAAUGAUUGUUAUGAACAAACCUCACUGCAGCACCAAGUCCAUAAGGGAUUGCAGAGAGGGUUUGAAUAGUACUGAGACUGCCCAAAGAAGUUGACAAAUAAUGAGCAGUCGGGGAAAAAAAGAAAAAAAGAAAAAAAAUCUAUUUCCUUUGGUAGGUGCUUCUCUGUAUAGAACUUUCACAUACAAAGUCUAUGUCAACAUACCAUGCAGAUAGGACUGAAGUUUCAAGCUGUGGGUUAGGCAACAGCCCUGACAUUAAAAUGAGCAAUUCAAAUGACCACCAUUCUAGGCUGCAAAAUUAUAAACAAAAGAAGAAGCAUGAAAAUUUAUGACGUGUCUACGAUAUCUAUGAGAAGGGAAAAUAAAACUCCAGAGGAUAAUUAACAUACCAAACCAUUACUGCAGAAGGGAUAGCAAAGUGGAAGAACUCUCCAAUUCCUCGGAACAACUCCAUUGAAAUUGGAGCCCUGGAUUCUGCACUAGCAGUGGAGAACUUCAUGUAAAUUGCCAAGAAAGUUAGAUUCAACCAAUACGAUAUACCAAUUGCCAAUGUUCCUCCAAGUUUCCCUAGUCCAGACUUGAAUACCAAACCCCAACAGAUGGGAAUAUGCAAACAAAGAGCGGCAUAGGAGCUUAAGAACAUGGGAAUGAUCAAACUUUGAGACUGAAAAUAUCGAAUAAGCGCCUGCAUUGCUGCAUAAGCAAACAGAGCUGGAAGAAGCCAGAUUAUAAACUUGCCUACUUCAUGUGAAAUCCGGGGAUCUUGGCCCACCAAAACUAGCAGCCUUCCCAUGUAAAUCCAUAAAAAGGAAAGCGGAAAACAUACUAAGAAUAAACAAAAUAUUGCAGUGUAAAUUUGAGUUCCAAUUCUUUGAUACUGCUGAGCUCCAUAUGCUUGCCCACAUAAUGUUUCCAGAGCACUUGCCAUUCCUAGCUGUUUCAAAGAAAAUAUUACACAAUUCAAGUUAGCUGUAGAAUAUAUAUAUAUAUUUUUUUUAAAAAGAGCAAAUCAAGUCCUUUAAAAAUUAAUGGCAUUUUUACAAACAGGGUAUUAGUUAAUUGCAUGUUUUUUAACAUCAGAAAUUUGGCAUAUCUAUUUGUUUAAAUCCCACAUGCAAUGAUGCAAAUACCUAUCAAAAGAAAGAAUAAACAAUAUUGUGUAUAUAACUAUAUAUGGAUUACAGGACUCACAAGGACGCUGAAGCCGGUGACGCUAGCUAGAGAGAUGAACAUGGCGGUGCUAGAAAGAGCAAGUUGACCAAGAUGACCAACCAUCAUCAUGGAAACGACUUGAAGCAAAUACUGUGAUAAAGUUACAGCCACCAUUGGUGCUGCUAUGUAACCCUGCUUUUUCACUUCUCCACUCAACAAAUCCCAUGUUGUGGAUGUUGAUGAUAAACUCUCUUUUGGUAUUAAUAAACUCUUUUCCAUAUUCUUUUCUGUAUCGUUGUCUCUCAUGGCCGCCCCUCUCCCUCUCUUUCUCUUGUGUGUAAAAUUUGCAUAGACUUAAGACGGAGAGUUGUUCCGGUCUCGUCAUUUUUCAGGUGUUCGGAUUUAUAAAGAAGAGGUGGAGCCGGGGGACAAAACGUCAUAUAUAUGAAGUUUUCGGGCCUAAAAUGCUAAAAUUGUAAAGUAAAUGAGUCUCACAAAGUUUUCAGGAGAAUAUCAUAAUAUGUCUUCAGUUGGGAUGAUGAUAUGAUACCUCUUCUCGUAUCAAAAACACAGCACCAGCAGGGCUAGCUGGGCACCUAAAACAAACGCCAAACAUAUAAUUAAUCCAUAUCUGACCAGUUGACCAAAUUAAAUAAGAUUACUUGUUAAUUCAGCACUGUUUCAAGAGAUUCCCGUCAAAUACGAUACCUCUUCUCGUUGAAUAUAUAACAGAAUUGUUAAAAAGUCGCAGCAUUAGCUCAUUGAAUUCAACUUAAUUUAAUCGUUUUAGCAGUAUAUAAAAAAUAAGAAGCACGCGUUUUAAGCAUACAUUUUACAAGGCGCAACAUUACGAAGUUAUAAAUCCAAUUGAAAUGAAAAAAAAAAAUGAAGUAAACAACAUGGGAAUCAGAGACUAAUUUUGAAAACAAGGGAAUAUAUCUAAUUCGAUGCUAAACUUCAGGGAUGCCGCUGAAAAUUUUGCUAAUUAAUGUUGCAACUUCUAACAAUUCAAGACCGCCCCCGGCCCUGCGUUAUACAAGCUGCCGAUGGUAAUGGUAUCGCUUAUUAUAGGUUUGUCAUUAUUAAAUUCGCCCGUAACCGAUUGCCUCUUUUUUUUUUUAGUUCGUUCGCUAUAAUUUUUAAUAAUUAGCAAAUCCACCCAUAACAUGUAGUAGUUUUUUUUUUAAUAAAUUUUUAUAUUUAAAAUCAUAAAUAUUAAAAAAUUAUAUUUAAUAAUUUAAAUUAUAUAAUUCAAAAUAUAACUUUAUAGUAACAGACUAAAAAAUCUACAUAAACUACUCAACUUUAGAUUUUAUCAAUGUAAAAGAGAAAUUAAAGUUUCAAUAUUAAAACAAAUACACAAAAUAUAUCAUUCUAACACAAAAUAUUUUUGUUGUAGGCAAAUAAUUAUUACUAAAAUUAAUGCCUUGCUCUAUCUUUUAGUCAAUAUAUAAGUAUUGUCAACAAUAUUAACAAAUAUAUUUUGGACAACUAUUGACCAUUAAUUAGAUAAAUAAAAAUCCAAUCUUAGCCAGCAAUCACUAAGUUCAAGUCAUUAAAGCGAAACAAACAAAAGUAAUUAAAUUAAAUUAAAAUAUCAUUAAUAUUAAACUUGAAAAAUACUAAAUCUACUUAUUAAAAGCUAAUUUUGUGUGUGUGUGCGUGUGUAUACAUUUACAUACAUACAUACUUGAAGGAGUAGGGUGUGCAACUGUCAUGAGUUAGGUUAGGUUUAGGAAUUUGGAAGAUUAGAGUAAUAACUUUAACUACUAUAUUUUUAUGAUUAAAUUUUUUUUAAGACAAUCUUUGUGAUUAAAAUUAAAAACAUAAAUAAUGAAAAAAAUGCCAGUCGGCAGACACCCGCCAAUUUUUUUCUCAAUACUGAAUCCAUCCGUAACCUGCAACGAACUAAAAUUAAAAAUAUCAAACUUAUCCGCAACCUACAAAAUUAUUCGCAGUGGAAAGAUUUUUGUAGAUGGGUUUAGACAAAUUUACAUAUUUACGACUAAUUUUGCCGUACUAAUAGCAGCGAUCAGCUAGAGGAUAGUGGUUUUGGUAUUGUUCUUUAGUUAUAUACACAAGAUAUGUCAAUGUAUUUUUGAACAACUUGCGAGAGAUAACUUCAUUUUAUUUGUAAUCAUACUAUCACAUGAUGUGAAUUAAAUUUUGUCAGUUGCGAAAGAGAAAUUGGCCCAAAAAAAAAGGAGGAUUAGUGAAGUAAUUACUAACAAUUUAUCUUGACAAUAAAAGUUUUUAUUAAAAAGUUGAUGUGGAAAGAGAAAUUAUUAUGGGUCGAAAAAAACCCAGCGCUAAAUAAAAUGUGAAGAUAUGUGUAUGUGGACUGAAAUGAAGAAACUGGAAAAGUUGUGAGUUGUUGUGCAGAUUGACUUCAGUUGAUGGGGUCUAUUUGAUAUCUUCUGCUGACGUGGCAUGGAUUCGUUAUAAUCUGUUAUAACGAGCCCAGCACACUGAUAUAAAACAGAGGCUGAUGGGUGGUGCCUGAUAGAGAGCUAAUAUCGUCUUCAUUAGUUCAUCAUUUUGCAUAGAAUCUGUUCCAUUGUGAUCUGUGCAUAAUCUUCUGUAAAUCACUUGUGAUUGGGUUAGUUCUUGAUCAAUAAUAAUGAGUAAAUUUUCCUUCUAAGUUUGCUGGUCUGUGUCUUUGUUUUGUUUCUGGUAUAGCUUCUCUGUUCUGGCUUUCUUGAUUGGAUUGUGUUCUUGGUGUUUCUACUCAUCAAGAUUUGUGAGUCUUGCUGUGAUUAAAGACUUAAAAGUCUUAACAUAAAAAGUGGAUGAUAUAUAUGUGUGUUUCUGGGCACCAAACAGAUAGUGCAAAGUGCUAGCAAAUUUUAUAGAUCUACUCCUCCAGCCUGGCCGACUUUUACCGCCUAAUAUUAUCUGAAUUUAUUGAAAGCUGUAAAUUACAAAAAUGAAACUGUAAGUUACCUCCGUCAAUUCCACAAAUUAAAUAAUAGGGGACCCAUAAGAUUUNNNNNNNNNNNNNNNNNNNNNNNNNNNNNNNNNNNNNNNNNNNNNNNNNNNNNNNNNNNNNNNNNNNNNNNNNNNNNNNNNNNNNNNNNNNNNNNNNNNNNNNNNNNNNNNNNNNNNNNNNNNNNNNNNNNNNNNNNNNNNNNNNNNNNNNNNNNNNNNNNNNNNNNNNNNNNNNNNNNNNNNNNNNNNNNNNNNNNNNNNNNNNNNNNNNNNNNNNNNNNNNNNNNNNNNNNNNNNNNNNNNNNNNNNNNNNNNNNNNNNNNNNNNNNNNNNNNNNNNNNNNNNNNNNNNNNNNNNNNNNNNNNNNNNNNNNNNNNNNNNNNNNNNNNNNNNNNNNNNNNNNNNNNNNNNNNNNNNNNNNNNNNNNNNNNNNNNNNNNNNNNNNNNNNNNNNNNNNNNNNNNNNNNNNNNNNNNNNNNNNNNNNNNNNNNNNNNNNNNNNNNNNNNNNNNNNNNNNNNNNNNNNNNNNNNNNNNNNNNNNNNNNNNNNNNNNNNNNNNNNNNNNNNNNNNNNNNNNNNNNNNNNNNNNNNNNNNNNNNNNNNNNNNNNNNNNNNNNNNNNNNNNNNNNNNNNNNNNNNNNNNNNNNNNNNNNNNNNNNNNNNNNNNNNNNNNNNNNNNNNNNNNNNNNNNNNNNNNNNNNNNNNNNNNNNNNNNNNNNNNNNNNNNNNNNNNNNNNNNNNNNNNNNNNNNNNNNNNNNNNNNNNNNNNNNNNNNNNNNNNNNNNNNNNNNNNNNNNNNNNNNNNNNNNNNNNNNNNNNNNNNNNNNNNNNNNNNNNNNNNNNNNNNNNNNNNNNNNNNNNNNNNNNNNNNNNNNNNNNNNNNNNNNNNNNNNNNNNNNNNNNNNNNNNNNNNNNNNNNNNNNNNNNNNNNNNNNNNNNNNNNNNNNNNNNNNNNNNNNNNNNNNNNNNNNNNNNNNNNNNNNNNNNNNNNNNNNNNNNNNNNNNNNNNNNNNNNNNNNNNNNNNNNNNNNNNNNNNNNNNNNNNNNNNNNNNNNNNNNNNNNNNNNNNNNNNNNNNNNNNNNNNNNNNNNNNNNNNNNNNNNNNNNNNNNNNNNNNNNNNNNNNNNNNNNNNNNNNNNNNNNNNNNNNNNNNNNNNNNNNNNNNNNNNNNNNNNNNNNNNNNNNNNNNNNNNNNNNNNNNNNNNNNNNNNNNNNNNNNNNNNNNNNNNNNNNNNNNNNNNNNNNNNNNNNNNNNNNNNNNNNNNNNNNNNNNNNNNNNNNNNNNNNNNNNNNNNNNNNNNNNNNNNNNNNNNNNNNNNNNNNNNNNNNNNNNNNNNNNNNNNNNNNNNNNNNNNNNNNNNNNNNNNNNNNNNNNNNNNNNNNNNNNNNNNNNNNNNNNNNNNNNAAAGGAAAGCGGAAAACAUACUAAGAAUAAACAAAAUAUUGCAGUGUAAAUUUGAGUUCCAAUUCUUUGAUACUGCUGAGCUCCAUAUGCUUGCCCACAUAAUGUUUCCAGAGCACUUGCCAUUCCUAGCUGUUUCAAAGAAAAUAUUACACAAUUCAAGUUAGCUGUAGAAUAUAUAUAUAUAUUUUUUUUAAAAAGAGCAAAUCAAGUCCUUUAAAAAUUAAUGGCAUUUUUACUAACAGGGUAUAAGUUAAUUGCAUGUUUUUUAACAUCAGAAAUUUGGCAUAUCUAUUUGUUUAAAUCCCACAUGCAAUGAUGCAAAUACCUAUCAAAAGAAAGAAUAAACAAUAUUGUGUAUAUAACUAUAUAUGGAUUAUAGGACUCACAAGGACGCUGAAGCCGGUAACGCUAGCUAGAGAGAUGGCCAUGGCGGUGCUAGAAAGAGCAAGUUGACCAAGAUGACCAACCAUCAUCAUGGAAACAACUUGAAGCAAAUACUGUGAUAAAGUUACAGCCACCAUUGGUGCUGCUAUGUAACCCUGCUUUUUCACUUCUCCACUCAACAAAUCCCAUGUUGUGGAUGUUGAUGAUAAACUCUCUUUUGGUAUUAAUAAACUCUUUUCCAUAUUCUUUUCUGUAUCGUUGUCUCUCAUGGCCACCCCUCUCCCUCUCUUUCUCUUGUGUGUAAAAUUUACAUAGACUUAAGACGGAGAGUUGUUCCCGUCUCGUCAUUUUUCAGGUGUUCGGAUUUAUAUAGAAGAGGUGGAGCCAGGGAACAAAACGUCAUUUAUAUGGAGUUAUUGGGCCUAAAAUGCUAAAAUUGUAGAGUAAAUGAGUCUCACAAGGUUUUCAGGAGAAUAUCAUAAUAUGUCUUCAGUUGGGAUGAUGAUAUCCCCACGACUCCACCCCAUCGUAAAGUCAAAAGCACAAACGCCAAAUAUAUAAUUAAUCCAUAUCUGACCAGUUGACCAAAUUAAAUAAGAUUACUUGUUAAUUCAGCACUGUUUCAAGAGAUUCCCGUCAAAUACGAUACCUCUUCUCGUUGAAUAUAUAACAGAAUUGUUAAAAAGUCGCAGCAUUAGUUCAUUGAAUUCAACUUAAUUUAAUCGUUUUAGCAGUAUAUAAAAAAUAAGAAGCACGCGUUUUAAGCAUACAUUUUACAAGGCGCAACAUUACGAAGUUAUAAAUCCAAUUGAAAUGAAAAAAAAAAAUGAAGUAAACAACAUGGGAAUCAGAGACUAAUUUUGAAAACAAGGGAAUAUAUCUAAUUCGAUGCUAAACUUCAGGGAUGCCGCUGAAAAUUUUGCUAAUUAAUGUUGCAACUUCUAACAAUUCAAGACCGCCCCCGGCCCUGCGUUAUACAAGCUGCCGAUGGUAAUGGUAUCGCUUAUUAUAGGUUUGUCAUUAUUAAAUUCGCCCGUAACCGAUUGCCUCUUUUUUUUUUUAGUUCGUUCGCUAUAAUUUUUAAUAAUUAGCAAAUCCACCCAUAACAUGUAGUAGUUUUUUUUUUAAUAAAUUUUUAUAUUUAAAAUCAUAAAUAUUAAAAAAUUAUAUUUAAUAAUUUAAAUUAUAUAAUUCAAAAUACUGCUGAUUAAAGUUUCAAUAUUAAAACAAAUACACAAAAUAUAUCAUUCUAACACAAAAUAUUUUUGUUGUAGGCAAAUAAUUAUUACUAAAAUUAAUGCCUUGCUCUAUCUUUUAGUCAAUAUAUAAGUAUUGUCAACAAUAUUAACAAAUAUAUUUUGGACAACUAUUGACCAUUAAUUAGAUAAAUAAAAAUCCAAUCUUAGCCAGCAAUCACUAAGUUCAAGUCAUUAAAGCGAAACAAACAAAAGUAAUUAAAUUAAAUUAAAAUAUCAUUAAUAUUAAACUUGAAAAAUACUAAAUCUACUUAUUAAAAGCUAAUUUUGUGUGUGUGUGUGUGUGUGUAUACAUUUACACUUGAAGGAGUAGGGUGUGCAACUGUCAUGAGUUAGGUUAGGUUUAGGAAUUUGGAAGAUUAGAGUAAUAACUUUAACUACUAAAUUUUUAUGAUUAAAUUUUUUUAAGACAAUCUUUGUGAUUAAAAUUAAAAACAUAAAUAAUGAAAAAAAUGCCAGUCGGCAGACACCCGCCAAUUUUUUUCUCAAUACUGAAUCCAUCCGUAACCUGCAACGAACUUAAAUCUAAACUUAUCCGCAACCUACAAAAUUAUUCACAGUGGAUAGAUUUUUGUAGAUGGGUUUAGACAAAUUUACAUAUUUACGACUAAUUUUUCCGUCCUAAUAGCAGCGAUCGGCUAGAGGAUAGUGGUUUUGCUAUUGUUCUUUAGUUCUAUACACAAGAUAUGUCAAUGUAUUUUUGAACAACUUGCGAGAGAUAACUUCAAAUUUAUUUGCAAUCAUACUAUCACAUGAUGUGAAUUAAAUUUUGUCAGUUGCCAAAGAGAAAUUGGCCCAAAAAAAAAAGGAGGAUUAGUGAAGUAAUUACUAACAAUUUAUCUUGACAAUAAAAGUUUUUAUUAAAAAGUUGAUGUGCAAAGAGAAAUUAUUAUGGGUCCAAAAAAACCCAGCGUUAAAUAAAAAGUGGAUGAUAUAUGUGUGUUUCUGGGCACCAAACAGAUAGUGCAAAGUGCUAGCAAAUUUUAUAGAUCUGCUCCUCCAGCCUGGCCGACUUUUACCGCCUAAUAUUAUCUGAAUUUAUUGAAAGCUAUAAAUUACAAAAAUAAAACUGUAAGAUACCUCCGUCAAUUCCACAAAUUAAAUAAUAGGAGACCCAUAAGAUUUUUUUUAAAAAAAAAAAAUCAUGGGUCCUGUUAUAAGAUUUACGAACUAAAUAACAGGCCCUCUAGGAUCAGAUGUAUUAUUUUAAAAAAAUAUAUUAAAAAAUAAUUUAGUCCAAUUUUUUUAAUAACAAAUUAUAUUUGUGUCCAAUGUGGAUACAUGCACAAAAGGCAAAUGUCUUGUUGACUAAUUGAUCCAUGUCAUGAUCAAUUGAUCAUCAUGCAUGACGCAAAGGUCUUAAAUGUAAAACAAAUGGCAAAUUUUUGAUUAAUUAUUGUAUGGUUAUCUCUGACUGGUUGACCAAAUUAUUGAUCUCAUUGGCUAGCGUACGUUUUAAAUUGGGAAUUGGGUCCACUUAUUUGAGUUUUAAAAAAAAAAUUAUAACAUGUAUGAACUUUUAUUUAUUUACGGUCAAAAUUUAUUUUUUAUUUUAUUUUUACUUAAUCACUACCAAUCACAUAAUUAAUUUUUUUAUAUAAAAGUUUUGAUCAGGAGAAAAUAAUAUCCUUUAAAUUAACCUCAAAAUGCGGUUGCACACAGCGUAAAAAAAUAUUUAAUUAAAGUCAUCGCACUAGUUCUUUGAAUUCAUCAUUAAUCGUUUUAUUAAUGGAAAAUUGAAGCUUUCUGCUCAAGAAAGUGCAUACCAUAAAUCACUAUAAAUUCAGAAACAUAUGUAAUGAGUUAACAGCCAUACACAACAUCGAUCAGAAAAACCGAUAAUUCAAAUUCAAUCUUAGAAUUAUCAUGGCUGAAGUGAAGCUUCAUGGGGCCCUGCCGAGUCCAUUUGUUUACAGGGUGAUUUGGGCUCUGAAAUUGAAAGGCGUGCCAUAUGAAUUUGUUUCCGAAGAUCUCUCAAACAAAAGUGCAUUGCUUUUGAAGUAUAAUCCAGUUCACAAGAAGAUCCCAGUGCUCGUCCAUGGCGGAAAACCAGUUUGUGAGUCCAUGGUUAUUCUCGAAUACAUCGAAGAGACGUGGCCACAGAAUCCCUUGAUGCCAAAUAAUCCUUAUGAUAGAGCUCUUGCUCGAUUCUGGAUUAAAUUCGCCGAAGACAAGGUUCGCUCACAACUCUG